RNAcentral lists this long non-coding RNA (63873 nucleotides) under Solanum lycopersicum (tomato). RNAcentral describes it as "long non-coding RNA (SLYC_LNC000417)". The record is from RNAcentral. Lineage: Eukaryota; Viridiplantae; Streptophyta; Magnoliopsida; Solanales; Solanaceae.
AUUCACAUUCUGAUUGAUAACUCUGCUAAGCACGAAAUGCAAUUGUUUGUGGAUUGUUAUGCAAGUUAUCACCAGAUCCAAAUAGAUGAAAAAGAUGCAGAAAAGACAGUUUUUGUUACUCCUUGGGGUGUAUAUCAUUAUAGGGUAAUGCCAUUCGGUCUUCAAAAUGUUUGUGCUAUUUAUCUGAGGGCUGUGACGACUAUCUUUAACGACAUGAUUCAAGAGGAGAACGAAGUGUAUGUAGAUGAAUUCAUCGUCAAGUCCUGUGAGAGUUCGGACCACUUGACCUGACUUGGUUGGCCAAGUUCUUUCUGUGUCAUUACAACUUGAAGUUAAAUCCCGCCAAGUGUUCUUUUUGAGUGUCAGACAGCAAGUUGUUGGGAUUUAUAGUCAGCAGAAGAGGUAUUGAGCUUGACCCUUCUAAGAUCAAGGAAAUUCAAGAGUUACCUCCUACAAAGACUAAGAAGGAAGUGAUGAGUUUCUUAGGGAGGUUGAACUACAUUAGCCGAUUCAUAGCUCAAUCAACUAUGGUGUGUGACCUAUCUAUAAGCUGUAAAGAAAGAUUCUUUGACAAAGUGGACCGAAGAAUGUCAGGAUGCUUUUGACUCCAUCAUGAAAUAUUUUUCUAAUCCAUAGGUAUUGGUUCCCAUUUGGAUGCGUACUUGGUCAACAUGACGAAACAAGGAAGAAAGAGCGAGCUAUUUAUUACAUAAGAAAGAAGUUCACUCCAUACAAAUUAUACCCUUUUGUAAUGAACGUGUUGUGCUUUAAUUUGGAUUGCCCAGAAAUUGAGUUAUUAUUUGACUUCCUAUACUACAUAUCUCAUUUCUAGAAUAGACCCAUUGAAAUAUAUUUUGCAGAAGGCGAUGCUGACUGGAAAGUUGGCUAAAUGGCAGAUGCUUUUGAUUGAAUUUGAUAUUGUGUAUGUGACCCAGAAGGCGAUAAAUGAACAAUCCUUGGCUGAUCACCUUGCGAAAAAUGUCAAAUCCGGGUUUACCCGUCAUCUUUCUUUUAAAUUACUAAGACUAGCCUCUUAGUUUCAUGUCAUUACAUUCAUAGGUUAAAAAGUGCGGAAAAAUUUAAAACUUUCAUUAUCACUACUUGGAGGUUUACAUAGACCUUUACAUACACAAUAUAUAUAAAUAUAUAUAUAUAUAUAUAUAUAUAUAUCGAGUAUACAUAGACCCUUCAUAUAGGAAGGCACAUAGCCUUCUACUUUGAUAUCACAUACAUAUAUAAUAAUAUAGAAAUAGUCUCAAUGAUUAUCUCAUCUCAUACCAUCUAAACGGAUACCACAACAUGGGCGUAGACCUUACAUCAAUACAAGACUACGUAUAGGUCAUAAAAAGUACAAUACUUAAAUAACAAGGAAAAAUGAUAGAAUCAAUAAGUUCAGAACAAAAUCCAAAGCUAGAAGAUGGCAUUGCCCUCGAAAGUUGAGCACCUACUCCACUUGGAUGAUAGAAAGAAUCCAAGCCUUCAAUAAUGUCGCCUCCCAAAACACCUCAACAACCGGAACCUAAAAUGUACGGGAAAAAGGAAGAAAAUGGGGUUAGUACUUCGCAUGUACUAAGUAUGAGAUCUUAUGCACAUACACAAGCAAAACAUGCAAAAAGGGACUUUUUAUCAAAGCAUGCCAAGUUACCCCGUUAGGGGCCUAAUGCAAAGUCAAAUAAGUCAUAUCAACCAACCAAACAUGCUUACUAUCUAAACAAGUAAUAUUUAUCCCAACAUACUUGAAACCACGAUUUACUACAACCCUAACAUCAAGGAAUAAUAUCACAAGAAUGAAUAAGAGUCAAACAUAUCAUAAUAAGCAAGACAACUACUCACAAGUCCUUAUGAAGUCAAUAAGUGCAAUGACCAAGCAAAGCCCCAUAACCUUAGUCAAUCAAGUAUCGUCAACAAGAAAACAUGACCAAUGUCCAACUUUACAUAUCAUGGUAUUUAGGCUUGCAUUUCAUCAUAUCUUAUCAUUAUAAUCCAAGGCAUAUUCAUAAAUGAACUAAUCAACAUAUAGUAUCAAUAAUGUGCCAUGGUCAUCAUAUAUUAUCAUAACAUAAACAUAUAACAACCUCCUCCUAAGACUCCCCUCAAGGCUAACUAGUGCAAUGUCUAAGUAGAGUCCCAUACCCCUACCUAGACUAAGCUAGACACCUUAGGUUAUCCAAGUUAGGGUUCAAAUCCUUUAACUCAUAUUACCUUUUGGGAACAUCUUUCCCUAACUUAUACAGACCAUUGAUCUAAUGUGGAAUCCGAUGUCAUAAAACCCUACACCAAAAAAAGGCGGACUACUUGCCAAGGUAGUACCAAAAUAUGAAACAUAACAACUACGUGGAUCCACUAGCUAGUAUUCCUGUGGGGGCAACAUAGUUCAAGAAUCAAGAGAUUUAGUUGGGACCCUCUUUAUGCACCAUGCAUUAUAGUCUCCAAUCUCAAGAGUAAUGAAGUGUUCCUACCUUCCCUAUGUGGGAAAGGACACUUCUCUAUCUAGUUCACUCGGUGCUAAGCUAGAGUCCCUUUUUGAAAUGUCUUUAAGCCUUUGAUUAUAAAUCAUAACUUAAUUUAGGUCAUAGGGUUUACCCCUUGUAUAAUCAUCCUCAUCAAUAGCUCAAUAAUAAUUGUAUGAGUAUAAGUCCUUUCAUCACAAUUCAUAGAAGUGAAGUUAACACUUUAGCAUUUCAUAACAUAUUAAGAUCAAUAGUUUUCACCAUCUUUAUAGCACAUACACCUUAAUAAACCUCACAACAUAGUCAAUAUAUUUCAAUUCAACAUCAUAGCACCCUAUAAUCCUAGUAUAAGGCAUACUCCAAUGUAAUAUCAUGGCUUAACAACAAUUAAUCACAAUUGGAAGUAAAGAUAGAUAUUCUAUGACUUACCAAGUCUUUAUCAUAGUCUAUCAUCAAGGUCUUACCAUCAACCCAUAACUCAACCGAACUUCGAGAGUAACAUCAUCACACAAUGAUAACCCAUAAGAUAACAAGGCCAAUUGCAUCUCUAUAACACAAUUCAUCUUUAGAUCACAACUUGAGACAAGGUACAUGGGCUAAUUUCACAUUAUAAUUCACAACCCUAAAUCACAUCUAAUGAACUAGCAUGAUAUAACUAUAACUCAUUUUAAUUUAAUCAUAAUAACACCAUAGGAUAGUAAUCUAAUCAACAACCAACUCAUUUGAAUAAUCACAAUAAAAUAUAGGUCAAGAUCACUACCUACGGUUAGGGAUAGAGAAUCAUACUCUCUAAUUUAGACCAUACCCUCAACAAUUACCAUAAACACAUUGAAUUACAUGUUAAUCUACUCAAUAUAACCUGAAUUCAUUAACAACUCAAUCCAUAACUUUAAUUUCAUAAUUGAGUGAAACCCAUAAGAAAACUCAAUUUUUUGAAAUUUAUUUUGAAGGAACCCUUUGAUAAAGGAUCUCAAAGGUGAAUAGAACCCGUACCUUAAUGUUUCUUAAUAAUUUGAUGAAGAAUCCACCCUUUUUGAGCCCCCAAUUCACCUUCCAAGCUAACCUUCUAUGGAGUCUUCUAAUUAGAGAGAGAAAGGAGAGAGAAGAAGGAGGAUUUAAUUGUGAGUUGUGUUUUGAUUAAUGAGGGUUGAGGGUAUUUAUAGUAGGACUUAAUCAAUUUAAUUAGUCUCUCUUUAAUCCCCAAUUAAUCCCUAAACCACUUAAUUAAUUAAUUAAAAUUAAUUUAAAAUGUGCAGGAAUUUGCAGACCCCAUCGAUGAGACCUUGAUCGAUGGACCGUUGGUUAACCGAGGGUCCGUGUUGCACAUCCGUAAGUUCGAUGAGAUACAGGUGAAGGUGAGUAUUUUCUCCAAUUUUCUAACUGUGGGACGACGGUGGCAUCGAUGCCCCGUCGAUCCACACAGGAAUCAUAGCCUGUACCUCCGCACUCCGUUGAUGAUUCAACAAAUUAUGCAGGUGAAGGGAUCUUCUCCACUAGCCUAAGUGUGGGACGAAGGUGGCAUCGAUUCCCCGUCGAUCCACACACGGUCCGUCAUUUAUCCCGUCAAUGCACACAGUCAGGCAGUGUUGUAUCAAACUGCAAAGGUCCUACUCAAGGGCCCUUUGUUGGUCCUUGGGUAGUCGUACCCGGACAUUUUAACCAUGGAACAACUCAAACACCCAUUAGUUACCUUUCCACCAACGUUCACACAAUGCUGACUCCUAAAACAUAGUCAAGUAGGCUAAGGUGCACUAUCAUCCCUUUGAACCAACUUCCCGGACGUUUUGGACGUUUUGGUUCUUAAUCUCCUAAAUGACCUAUAUCCAUUAAAAAUAGACUUGGAAACAGUUUUUAGACUUUAGGACUCCUAUGUUAGGCUUUACAAUGAGUCUUAGAUUUUUUUCCAAGGUGUUACAUAAAAUCAUGUCAAUAAAGAGUACGAACCGCUCAAGACUUAUUUCCCCGAUGAAGAGGUAUCAUUCGUGGGCGAAGAUAUUUUUGAAACAUAUACUGGUUGGAGGGUAUUCUUUGUAGAGCGGCGAAUCACCAUGGAAAAAGUAUUGGGGCGGUCUCAGUGUUAGACAUCGGCCAACACUAUCCUACGGUAGCUAAGCUUCAACUUAAUUGCACGAACAACAUGGCUAAAUAUGAGGCUUGUAUUCUUGGUUUGAAAAUGGUCAUAAACAUGAAUGUCCAUGAGUUGCUGGUUAUUUGAGAUUCAGAUGUGUUGAUUCAUCAAGUUCAAGGAGAAUAUAUUGUGAAGAACCCAAAGGCCACACCGUACGUACAGUAUAUACAGAAGUUGUGUAAGAGAUUCCAUAAGAUUAAGUUCAAACAUACUCCCAGAAUACAAAAUGAGUUAGUUGAUGGUUCUGGCCACCAAUGCUUCAAUAAUUAAACAUCCAGAUACUAAUUAUAUUGACCCUCUUGAUAUAGAGAUAAAAGAACAUCAUGUCCAUUAUUCACUUGUUGAAGCGUAACCAGAUGGUUGCCAUGAUAUUUUGAUAUUAAGAACUAUUAGGAUUCCGGUGUUUAUUCUGAGGACACAACAUUUAACUAGAAGAAGUCGAUACGUCGUAUGGCCCUCAACUUCUUUCUAAGCAGAAAAAUCCUUUAUAGGAGGACUCUAGAUUCAGGUCUUCUCAUAUGUAUUGAUGUUGUUGAAGCUGCGAGGCUUAUUGAAUAGAUACAUACUAAAGUUUGUGGUGAGGAAUAUCCUUUGAGCCGGUCAUUUAUGGAUGACUAUGGAGGAUGAUUGUUGCAAGUUUGUGCAGAAAUGUCAUAAAUUUCAUGUGCAUGCUGAUCUAAUCCUAGUACCGCCUCAUGAACUCAAUGCUAUCAUUUCGCCUUGUCCCUUUGUAUCUUGGGGCAUGGAUGUCAUUGGUCUUAUAGAGCCAACCACCUCGAACGGACACAGAUUUAUUUUGGUUGUCAUUGACUACUUUACCAAGUUGAAGCAUCCUCGUACAAGUCGAUGACCAAGAAAGUUGUAGCUUAUUUUGUUCGCAACAAUCUGAUAUACAGGUUUGGAGUACCAGAAUCCAUCAUUACCUAUAAUGGUGCAAAUAUCAACAGUCACAUGAUGAGAGACAUAUGUGACAAAAUUUAAGAUUACUCACCGAAACUCAAUCGCUUAUCAUCCUCAAUUGAAUGGAGCUGUAGAGGCUGCGAAUAAGAACAUCAACAGGAUUCUAAAGAAAAUGAUGGACACUUACUGAGGUUGGUGCGAGAUGUUGUGAUUUGUUUGUUGGGAUACCAGAUGACGGUCAGAACAUCGAGAAGAGAUACUCCAUAUCUCCUAGUGUAUGGAACAGAAGCAGUCAAACCUGUUGAAGUUGAGAUACUGUCCUUUAGAAUCAUCCAAGAACUCGACAUAAGUAACGCUAAAUGGGUCAGCAAAUGGAUUGACCAAUUAACUUUGAUUGAUAAAAAAGAAUGGUUGUUGUUUUUCAUGGUCAACUAUAUUGACAGAGAUUGAUUUGCGCUUUCCACAAAAGAGUCAAAGCGAGAAUUUUUUAAACUGGUCAGUUGGUCCUUAAGAGCAUUUUUCCUCAUCAAGAUGAGUACAAUGGAAAACUUGCACAGAAUUGGCAAGGGCGUUACAUUGUUCGCAAGGUAUUAUCAAGAGGUGCUUUGAUCAAGUCAAAAAUGGAUAGCACCACAUGGCCGAAACUGAUAAAAUCAUAUGAUGUCAAGGGAUAUUGUAUGUGAUGCUUCAGUUUGUAUUUCUGUCAUUUCCUUGUAUGCGUUCUAUUUGCUUGUAAUUGCUUUGUUUAAAUUUUUAUCCCUCUUGUAAUGAAAUAGGUCUGACUUGGAUUCUCAAGAAUGAAAUACGUAGGCGGCCUAAUUCGGCCUCGGUCACCCCAUUUAUCCUCUUUAAUAUUUCUUUGUAUUUUAACUAUGUUCGACUUGAAUUCUCAAGAAUCAGAUACGUAGGCGGCCUAUGUUUGCCUCGAUCCAUUUCUUUGUAAAGAUUCUUAUUAUUGUUAACCUUCGAGGGGGAACUACGUUUGACCUAAUUCUUUCCUCAACAGGAUAGUUGGCACCACAAGGGUUCGGUCAUAUCUUUUGUAAGAUUUCUAUUUUUCAUUACAAGAAAAACUGGGACAAAAUUUUUGAGAAAUUCUGGAGAGGAAGACUUUUUUAUCAACAUGUCGAAGCUGAAGUUACUUUGAAAUUUGUGACAGGGACAGAAUUUUUGAGAGGAACUCAAAAAACUCAGUGAUUUACUCACCAGUAGUUAAAGAUGAGCCGAGACAGUUAACUGGGAAAGAAAUUUUGAGGAUGGCCUCAAAAUUUCAACUAGGGUUUAUCGAUAGUCUAGAAUGACUUUGAACACUCCCCUGCCAAUAAUUAGAUAGACCUCCAAGCGUCAGGCUUAAAGAAAUUUGCUAAGUUUGACGUGACAUGAUAUUUGGUAGUAACCUAUUAUUAAUAUACUACUUUUCAAAAAUUUAUUUUUUCUUAAAACUUUCCCUUUAUGUUCCAUUUGUUUUGUCAUAAAACAUUUUGUUUUGUCAUAAAACAUUUUGUUUUAUAUAUCAAGAGUCGGGAGAUCAGAAAAUAAACCAGAGAUAGCAGGAAAAGGAGUAGAUAACUGAAGAAAUUGACACAAAUCAAUUCGUUUUAAAACUAAUAACUUUUUUGUGGACGCAGGUUUAUAGGUUAGCUCUGAUAUCAACAAAUUUCUGCAAUCGAUGAAUAUGGAGAAGUCAAGUGGGCGAAAAGCUCUCCCAAAAUUUACAAUUUUUUUGUGGAUGCAGGAAUUAUUUUAUAUUUCUUAUAUCAAAGUCUUGGGAACGUGAACAACAUUGUUUCAUCCAAUUCCCAACAGCACGAAGUCUAUUAUGAAGAUACAACUAUGUUCAAAGAUAAAUCAAAUGGAAACCCCAGAAAACACAUUUUACGGUUUUCAUCAAGGACGUCAUAUGCAUUACGUUAUCAUACAUGAUAGUGUUACUACUCGGAGGGGCCAUUUUAUUUGUAUAGUCGAUUGAGAUGAUAUACUACCCGAAGGGUCAUUUUAGUUAUAUUGUCAAUUGAGAUGAUAUGCUACCUACAGGGCCAUUUUAGUUGUAUUAUCGAUUGAUAUGAUACGCUACCCGGAGGGUCAUUUUAGUUGAUUGAGGUGAUGCACUACCCGGAGGAUCAUUUUAUUUGUAUUGUCGAUGUAGAUAAUACACCACCUAAAGGGUCAUUUUACCGUAUUGUUAAUUGAGACAAUAUCACUAUCCAGAUGGCUCCUAGAGGACACUAUGUCACUCGAUAGGACUAUAUUCAUUUGGUACCAAGGAUGCCUCGUGAAAAAAUAAGCGUCAUGAGAAGAUACUCAUGCCUCGUAGAAAAUCAUGCAUCACGGGAAGAUAUUCAUGCCUUAAGAAAAGUGCCAUGCACCGCGAGAAGAUAUUCAUGCAUCACAGAAAUCCAUGCACCGCGAGAAGAUAUUCAUGAAUUGCAAAAAAUCAUGCAUUGCGAGUCAAUAUUCAUGCAUCGCGGAAAAUGUCAUGCAUUGCGAGGAGAUAUUUAUAUAUUGCAAAAAAGUCAUGCAUCCCGAGUUAAUAUUCAUGCAUCACAGAUAAUUCAUGAAUCGCGAGUCAAUAGUCAUGCAUCGCGGAGAAAUCAUGCAUCCCGAGUUGAUAUUCAUGCAUAGCGAAAAAUGUCAUGCAUCGCAAGAAGAUAUUCAUAUAUCGCGAAAAAAGUCAUGUGGCGCGAGAAGAAAAUUCAUGCAUCGAAGAUAUAUUCAUACAUCGAGGAAAAUCAUACAUCACGUGUCGAUAUUUAUGCGUCACAGAAAAUCGUGCAUAUUGAGUGAAUAUUCAUGCAUCGAUUAGAUAUUCAUACAUCACGCAAAUUCAUGCUUCGCAAGAAAAAAAUCAUGCAUCGUGAGAAGAUAUUCAUGCAUUGCGAGAAAAUAUUCAUGAAUCUCAAGAAAAUAUUCAUGAAUCGCAGAAAAUCAUGCAUCUCGAGAAGAUAUUCAUGCAUCACGAAAAAUCAUGCAUCGCGAGAAGAUAUUCAUGCAUCGUAGAAAGUGAUACAUCUCGAGAAUAUAUUCAUGCAUCACGGAAAAAUCAUGCAUUUCGGACAAGAAGUCAUGCAUUGCAAGAGAAAAUUCAUGCAUCGCUGAAAAAUCAUGUAUUGCGGAUAAGAAGUCAUGCAUUGUAAAAGAAAUUCAUGCAUUGCGGAGAAGAAGUCAUGUAUAGCAAGGAAAACGAAUUCAUACAUCACGAAAAGAAGUCAUGUAUUGAAAGAGAAAAAUUAUGCAUUCCUAGAGAAUAUUUCCCCAUCAACAUCAACAACAUCCUUUUAUUUUGACAAGAGUAAACACCAAGAGAAUCAUCGAAGAUGACAUCAAGAGAAAUAGUAACACUGCAUCAGCUUUUAUUCAUUUUGACUUCAAAUGAAGAUUACAUUGAAUAUUAUAUUGCAAACAUAAUACAUAAUCUUUAUUUGCUUUACAUCAAACCAAUCGAGUUGACGUCAAAUGUUGAGGGACAAAAACUAAAUGUCAACGCGGUAAAAGACACUAUCUCCAAUUUGAAUUGCAUUUUUAUGUUAAUAAGUUUUAUCUUAGUCUUUGGCGAGAGCAUAUGAAAGAAUGAAUUCUCCAAAACAUACCACAGGUGCGGACGACAUCAAAACGGAUGUUGCACAAUAUGAAACUUUUUCUUAGCAACAAACUGGGACAUAGUCCGAAGAGGAGUGUCAAACUCUUAGAAAGCAAGCAGAGGAGCGACUUCCACCACAAUCGAAACACACCCUUAUUAGAAGGAAUGUGGGAUUUUCCUUAGAUUUCUUGGUCACAGUCCCGCAUCCAGAAAUUUUGGUAGCUGCCAAAAGCAAGUUUCAAAUCUGAAUAACAAUGCGUCAAGAGUUUCAAAAAUUAUGUUCAUGUAAGUUCUUAAUAAUGGGUGUGAGGUGCACCACAUUCAUGACGAAGAUGUUAAAUCCACCUUUUCACACUCGACCUAAUUUGUCACUUGAUCGAAACCAAAGGUUAUCUAGUAUAAUAGAUUUCCUUUUCAACCGAUCGAGUCGAACUACAAGUGGCUUGAUUCCUUGAGUUUAAGGAUAUGUAGGCGGGCUCGAUGUUGAAAACUUGGUUGUAUUCCACCAUUAAUUCUUAAAUUUUAUUUUUGCGCAUCAAGGUCCCUUCAUAAUUCAGUAUCGAGAUGGCUUUUGAAUUCUUUCAAAAUCGUGCAUCAAAUCAACUGUGUCGAACUACAAGUUGUUUGAAUUCUCAUAUAGCCUGAGAUAUCUAGGAAACUCAUAUCCAGGGUUCGUCCAUAAUUCCUAAAAUAAGUGCCAAAUGAAUUUGUGGUCAGACAAAAUUCGAUUGGUCAAUUUCAUUUUCCUUGAAUCUCUUGCAUCAAUCCAUGUAAAAUGAGAGACAGUUGUUGACAUCCAAUUUUGACCUUCCCAAAUAAAUUAAUCCUCAAGCUUCCUUAAUUCCAAGCGAUUGGGAAUAGUCAAUUUCAUUGAAACCAAAUAUUUUUCAAGUUAAUUUUAGUCGUUUUUGAUCUUUUGAAAAUGAAUACAUUUUCUCUUUAUAUAUAUCUUUGUCAUAUUUUAUAAAUAUUUUAAAAAGUUUCUCCAAAAGAUUUUACCUUUCCACAUAAUUUUUACUAACUAUUUUAGCUAUAUAACAUAUUAUAUUUUUUAAUUUAUUGGUUUAUAGUUAAGUUGAUUAUCUCGUUAAAUUUAAGUGACGCUCUUCAACUAAUUUAUACUAAUUCGUCUUUUUAUUCAAGUUUAUUUCAAAGUCCAUAUGUUUUCAACUUUAAAGAGACUUUCCUUUUUGGGCUCAACAAGCUCAAUUCCCAUCUCCAAAUCAGCCCAACCACAUUCUUAUUUCUAUCCAACCAAAUAAUCUUGUGACCCAGCCCAUUUUUUUACUUAAGAUCAGCCCAACCAAUUCUAAAUUCCAGCCCAUUCCAAAUAUCCUUGACCCGAUCCAUUCCCGAUUCUAGAGAACUCAAGCUUCACCAAAGAAAAACCAUGCGAUGGUAGUUCACGAAGCCCAGUGCGUACAGCUCAAUUCCAUCAAACGGCAAGUUCGCCUAUAGGUAGCGAGAGAUGCGGCGCUAUGUUUUUGUCGUCUUCCGCAUUGCCCCUUUUCGUAUGAGUUUUAGCAAUGGCAUAUCACACGGAGUCAUCCUUCUUGUGUUAGAUUGCACCACGUCGCCUUCCAAGGAAGGAUAAGCCUAUGUCAGAUGUCGAUCUUGCCAUUUCCUCCUUUAGGAAUAAGCUAAAAUUUCAGUAAAAGUUGUUUGUCCAAAUUAGUGAAGGUUUUUUUAUUUUUUAAUUCCUAAGUUCAUGGGCCUUGAACCGGAUUUCUCAUCCUUCCCUCCCUUUCUGACCCUAACUUUAAAUCGAUAAAUAGUCCUUUCCCAUUAAUUUGUGGGGAUGACAGUUUCUUCAGAAAAAAAAGGGUUGGAAGAUUUAUGGAGAUAUUAUUUUUUAGCUAGAAAAACUUAGUGAAAAUAUAUCAGUAGUAGACCAAGAGAGCCUUCCGUCAAGUUUUCUCGAUGUUCCAAUGUUUACUUGGGUUUGUUUGUGCUGCCCUGUUGCUUUAGUUUUGCCAUAGAAGUACCCAAAAUCACACUCCAGCGAUAAAUCUCUUUGUUCGCCCGCUCAGUCCUGUUUGUUGCGCACAAAAAGGUAAUGUCUUAUCUUUUGUAAUACUUCUUGUCAAAAUGUUAUCCUCGGCCUUACUUCCAUCUGGAUGUGUUGUGUGACGUUGGAAAGGUUUCACCACAUGGUUAUUGAUGAUAGACAUUGUUGGUCCAUUAAAGGUUGAUAUGUUACAUUUUGUCUUAUUCAUUUUGUUUGAAAUAGUUAUAGUAGCGAGUUGAAGCUUCGGGUAUUUGUUUUCGACAUGGAAGUGUUUUGUUUUUGGUUGAAGUUUGGAUUACAAUUGUCCUUCCUGUGUGUUUGUUUGGGUCUUGUAUAUUUUUAUUUAUUUAUUUAUUUUCUUCUUCUUCUUCGCAUCUCGUUGAGUUUUAUCUCCUACUAGAAUGUCAUCCUCUUUAAUCAAAUGAGACAAGGUUUUUUUUUUGUAUGCGUUGGAAAACAGCUUGGUGUGAAGUUUGCAAAUGUCGUUAUGCACACCCGUUUAGGUGCCGUAAAAACCUUCCUAAAAUAUAAAUGAGAAUCCUCGAACCCCCUAUUAAGUUUUCAAAUCAAUUUUCUAAUUUAAGUCUUUUGGAAUCUAAGUUUUCUUUAUUUAUUUUUUUAAAAUUAAGUGGCGACUCUAAGCAAGUCUAAAACAAUAAAAAAAAAUCUUAAAAUAAAACAACUCCUCCACACUCAUAUUACCUUGACUAAGAUGUAUGAACUCUUUAGACUUCACCUCUCUUUUCUCACAGGGAACGUACCUUCCUAAGAAUGCUUUCUUACACUUUUCUCAUUCUAUAGGACCCAAUUCAACUAGCCUAUUAUUAUUCCAUUGUGUGUACCACACUUGAGCAACUUCCCUCAAUUUGAAGAAAGCAAACUCUGCCUUCUCCUUAGAAAUCACCUCCAUAGCACUCGCCACCUUAUAAACACCAUCUAUGAAUUCUUGGGGAUCUUCUCCCACCUUAGAACAAAUAAAGAUAUAAGGAUUCAUCCUCGCCAAUUCCCUUAACCUAGAGGCCAUAGUACUCUUAAUAACAUUCACCCUAGGCCUUACAUCUCUAUUUCCUUGAGUCGUCAUGGCUCGGGGUAGGUCAACAAAAGCUCCUCUAACCUCGUCAUUAGGCAUGUCCGGGGGAACCACCGAAACCUCAUUCUCUUGGUUGACCAAAGGGACUUGAUCACCUUGAGGACAAACUCCCUCAUUCACCACACCAUAUUCCACUCUUAUUGUGGGCAUCCUUCUUCUAUUCAUAUCCUAUAAACACAAGGUUAAAGAUAUGGAAAAGACACUUAUAACCUCCACUCUAUGGCAGGACACAUGAGUCGUGAAGAAAGUGAAACUUCUACUGUCAUAUUGCCUCUCACUCAUAUAUGUGUCACAACUCACACCAAUGAACAAGAUUCUACUAGAUGUGGCUUAUGAUAGUUGAAUCCUAAGGACCACUUCAUAACCUUAUGCUCUGAUACCAAGUUUGUAACAACCCGGGAGCACCCCCUAGUUGUCACAUAAAGUAUUCAACCUCUCGAAGGUCAUAUACAAGCCCUUAGCGUUCAUUCAUAACAAUGUAACCAAAAUGGUGUGGAAUUAAAUCAUUUUAAAAGAAAAUUGUACGGCCUGAGAGCCAACACUUUAAAAGAAAUCUUCAUACACAAUGGAAUUCUAGUCUUAUAUAAGCCAACAAAGACUCAAACGCUAAGAAUCCCAAACUAGGGCAUGGAUCUUACACAUAAAUGAAAAUUAUGUCUAAUACAAAGUCUUUAAUAAAAGAAAACUAUAAAUAGCAUCCAUGUCCUCAAACAUAUGAGGACGUACCACGAGUCUUGAGAGAACAAUCUAUGGCCCAAGCUUCAACUCUAGGAAUCCUCACUUGCCAACACCUACACUUUUAGAAAUAAAGUAAAAUGUUGAAUUAGUACAAUUAAGCAUUAAGUACGGUAAACCUACAAGAAAUCAUGUAAAAUGGGACACUUUAGUUGAAUCAUGUUUUUCAUGCUAUUUUGAUAAAACUUCAUAAAAUCCAAGUACAAAAGAUAUCAUACAAGUCAAUCGUCAAAAUACAAGAUAAUAGUCUCAUAAUUUACAAGAUAUGACCAUAUUUAUUAAGUAUAUCAUUUAACCAUGUAAACCCUCUAUCUAAUGUUAUCAUAAUACCCACCUCGGUAAGAUACGAAGAUACCAGCCAUACAACAUCUUCAAUACACAUAUAAGUGUUCCUUGAGAGUACCAAAGAUAAAGAUGUUUCCUUUCCAACACAAGCACAACAAGUCAACAAUCAUUCAUUUGAGGGAAAUCACAUAAUGGUCUUGCAAGACCUAGGGAACCCACUCAAGUACUUGUUCCAUUGUAUAUAGCAUCUCAUUCUACUACAUACACUUUGUUGGACCGAUCCAAUAGCUAAAUGUAUUAAGAGACAUAGACCAUACUAUUUAGGUAUGGAAUCCGGACUCUAUCAUACCCCCUGGAGGGUGUUCUACUUGCCAAGGGUAGAACUAGGACACUUCCCAUGUUGGCACACGGCUAAGGGGAUAAUAGGGGCUUAUUUGUACUUUAGUAUCAUUCUCAAGUAGAGCUACUACAUCAAAUAUAUCCACUCGGUUCUUUGCCUUACUUCUCAUAUACAAAGUUCUUUCAUAUCUGUGUAUUUGAGAAGGUACCAUCACUAAGACCUACCAACUCAUAAUCCCAUUAUCGAGAAGGGAUCAACAAGGGUCUACCAAUCAAGGUUCAUUGAGAUAGCUCAUAUGACUCAUCUUAAAUGGGUGUCAUCAGCCUACUAGUCCAAGACACAUCUUCAAUAUUCGCUUAGGUUUCUAGAUUACCCUAGAAUACCUCAUUUAUCAUUCAUGGAAGGGCACCAACUUUAGGUUUGUCGAUCCUAGACUUUCAUUCAUUUAUUAUUCAAGACAAGGGUGUCUAAUCCUACCAAAUAAAUACACAACAUUCAUCAUAUCAUUCAUGUAUCAAGUAGGGACAACUAAGUCUACCUAAUCAAGAUACCAUAGCAACAUAUAAAGACUCUUUAAAGUCUAAAAUUAUCAAACGAGUAAACUUUUCGAGAAAAUACACCUUUCCUCACAUAUAUCCACAUUAUACAAAAGAUAAAACAUAUAUCAUAUCACCCUCCAUUUUAUACAACCAUAUAACCCAUAACAUUAUAAUACUACAAUUCACAUAAUAAUGUCGAUUGCCCAUGAUCAUAACAUAUAUACCAAUUAAGCACCGCCACCGUAAGUGGAGAAUAUCAAUCAAUAGCAAUAUGAUAUACAUUCUACAUUAAAUAAGGGAAUUAGGUCAACUUACCACAUUCCAAAAGCCACAAUCACCAUUCUUUAACAUCUCCAAUAAUUCUACAUAGCAUGGGAAUUUAGUCAUUACAAUGCUCAUAAGGCAAGGACUACCAACUCACCCAUAUAUUAAUAAUCCAUCAUGACCCAAGAUAGAUAUCAAUAUUAAUCAAUACUAUAAAGCAAACUAUGGAAAAUUCCAUUAAUAAACAACAUAGAAUUCAAUAGCCCAUAACAAUCUAAACAUGAUAUAACAUAAUUAGGCCAUAAUCAGUACACCUACUUUAGAGCAAAAAUUAGGUAUUCAAGAGAUACAUGGUCAAUUAACAUUGAAAACAUCAUAAGUCAUCCAUUUAACCCAUUUAAUGCAAGAACUCAUGCUUAUAAUUUAAAAUAGGGCUUUUAGGGUUCUUACAUUUUUUUAAAAACCUUUGAAUUGGAUCCUUACAUUAUAGAAGAAUCAAGGAUGAAACCACCAUACCAUAUUGAAGACCUAUCCACGACAAUUUGGGUUGAAAAACAUAGAGAAUUGAUCUUCUCCCUUGGAAUUUGAAGGUCCUUCAAUGGAGGAUUUGUGUAGAUAGAGAAUUAAUAAAGAAGGGAUAGCUUUUUUUUUCUAAUUGGGUGUUGGAGUUUUUUAUUGGGGAAAGGGUAUAAAUUGAAACUAUAUAUAUUAAGACCCUAAAAUACCCAAAACAUUCCUACAUUAGUUGGACCUUUAAAUGAAGUCCAACUUGACUUUAAUUGAUGAAGUCACAACUGGAACAUGGGUGCAUGUUGUGGAGGAAACAUUUGGCCUCUGUGUGACAAGCUCGUGACGCGUACUGAUCCCAUAAACUUCUGGUCAAGCUGUCCAGGCAGUUUUUUUUCUUGUCCAAGGUUUGGGUCCUUCUUAAGGACCCUUAGGGUGGUCCUCAUGGAGUCGUACCCAAAUGUUUUGACCAUAAACACAAUUAUUAAUGCACUACACUCACUUGCACUGUUUUUAGACUCCAAAUCACACACAAAGAUAUGUACAACAUGCUAGGACACAUCAACACAUAAAACACUAGUUUUCUAACGUCUUGGUCAUACUGUGAUGUUUGACCGCCAAAUUUUUUAAAAUUGAAUUCAAGAGCUAUAAUUUACUAUUUUAACAACUUAUUAACUCAUAAAACUCAUAUGAAGGUCUAGUUCGUUCUAGUUAAUGUUUAGGGUGUUAUAUUUUUUGUCCAAUAGAGUCACAUUGGUUGAUUUGGUGGAACUUAAUAUGUUGGACUUUGAUUUCCUAUAAGGAAUGUAUUGGUUACAUUCUUGUUUUGCUUCAAUUGAUUUUAGAACAAGGGCAAUUAAAUUUCGAUUUCCUAAUGAACCCAUUUUAAAAUGGAAGGGGGGAGGGGAGUUCAAUCCCUAUAGGUCAAAUUAUUUAUUGUAUAAAAGCUUGUAGAUGAUUUAUAGGGGAUGUAUCUACAAUAUAUUGAGGGUAAAUGACAUUGGGUAUGAAGCUCCUUAUUUAGGGUCGGUUCCCGUAGUGAAGAAUUUUUUGGAAAAAUGCCCCGAUGACUUACCCCAAAUUCCUUUAGAAAUAAAAAUAGAUUUUGGUAUAGAUUAGUUGCCAAAUAUUCAACCCUUAUCAAUCCCUACUUACCGGAUUUCUCCAGCCGAGUUGAAAAAAUUGAAAGCUCAACUCAAGGAUUUGCUAGAAAAGGGUUUUAUACAAAUAAGCAUAUCUCCAUGGGGCUCUUGGGUGUUAUUGUGACAAAGAAAGAUGUGUCUCUUAGAAUGUGUAUUAAUUACCGACAAUUAAACAAAAUCAUUAUAAAGAAUAAGUAUCCUCUCCCUAAGAUUAAUGUUUUUUUACCAACUCCAAAUGGGCGAGCUACUUUUCAAAUAUUGACUUGAGGUCAGGGUAUCACCAACUUAGAGUUAAUGGAGUUGACAUUCCUUAACGGCUUUCUGAACAAGGUAUGGCCACUAUGAGUUCCUAGUCAUGUCCUUUGGUCUAACUAAUGCCCCAACGACUUUCAUGGACCUUAUGAACAGGGUGUUUCGGGAUUAUCUUGAUUCAUUGUUAAUCGUCUUUAUUGAUGACAUUUUGAUAUAUUCCAAAAGUAAGGAUGAACAUAUGAGUCAUUUCAGGAAUAGUAUUACAAGUCCUCAAGGAACACCAACUCUUUGCCAAAUAUAGUAAGUGUGAGUUGGCUAAUAUCGGUUGUUUUCCUUGGUUACAUUGUGUGUAGUGUUGGUAUUGAUGUUCAUUUGAAGAAGACGGAUGUGGUUAAGAAUUAGCCUAGACCCCUAACCUCACCAUUAUUCAAAGUUUCUUGGGUUAGUCGUGUAUUAUAGGAGAUUUUUUGAUAGAUUCACAUCUAUCACUUCUCAAUCGACUACCCUAACCCAAAAUAAAGUUAAAUUUGAAUUAAUGAAAGCUUGUGAGGAAGGCUUCAAAGAGUUGAAGGAUAAGCUUACAUCCGCUCCGAUAUUGAUAUUACCGGAGGAUGCUAAGGGUUUUUGGUAUAUUAUGAUGCAUGUCGAGUAGGUUUGGGUUGUGUCCUCAUGCAAUAUGGUAAAUUUAUAACUUAUGCCUCAAGGCAACUCAAGGUGCAUGAGAAGAACUAUCUGGAGCAUGAUCUUGAAAUAGCAGUCGUAGUUUUUGCUUUAAAGAUAUGAAGAAACUAUCUAUAUGGAGUGCAUUUAGAUUUCUUCACUAAUCAGAAAAGUCUCUAAUAUGUGUUCACCCUAAAAGAGUUGAACAUUUGGGAAAGAAGGUUGUUAGAUCCUUGAAAGACAACGAUUUGAGUGUCCUCUACCAUCCCAGCAAGGCCAAUGUAGUUUCGAACACUUUGAACCGUAUUUCCAUGGGUAGUGUUGCUCAUGUGGAAGAUGAGAAAAAGGAGUUAGUCCGUAAUGUGCAUAGAUUGGCCCAGCUGGGAGUUAAAUUAGUAUAUUCUCCUAAAGGUAGAGUCAUGAUACAUCAUAGAUCUGACUCCUCCUUAGUGGUUGAUGUAAAAUCCAAAAGAAACACCUUGAUCCCAUCUUGAUGGAAUGAAAGAGUCCGUACUUAGAAAAUCCAUUUAGGUUUUCUCCCAAGGGGGAGAUGGGGUACUUAGGUAUCAAGGUAGAUGGUGUGUUUUGAAUGUCGAUAACUUAAAAAGACAAAUUUUGGAAAAAUCCCACGGUUCAUGAUAUUCCAUUCAUCCGGGAGCCACCAAGAUGUACUGCGACUUGCGAGAGAUCUAUUGGUGGAAUGGUUUGAAAAGGGAUAUAUCAGAAUUUAUGGCCAAAUGCCCUAAUUGUCAACAAGUCAAGGCCGAACAUCAAAGAGUCGGAGGGUUGUCUCAAGAUAUAUCUAUCCCCACUUGGAAGUUUGAAAAUGUCAAUAUGGAUUUCGUAGUGGGUUUGCCCCGUACACGAAGGCAACAUGAUUCGAUUCGGAUUGUUGUUGAUAGGAUGACCAAAUUAGCCCAUUUUAUUCUCAUCAAGGCUACUUAUUCGGUGGAAGAGUAUGCUAAAUUGUAUGUCAAGAGAUUGUGAGAAUGUAUGGGGUCCCUUUGUCUAUCAUUUUGGAUAGGGGUACUAAAUUCACUUCCCAUUUUUGGAAAGUAUUCCAGAGUGGACUUGGUACCAAGGUGAAACUUAGUACUUCAUUUAGUGCACAAAUGAAUGGUUUGGCGAAACAAACCAUCAAAACCCUAGAAGAUAUGUUUAGGGCAUGUUUUAUUGACUUUAAGGGUAAUUGGGAUGACCCUCUACCAUUGAUUAAGUUUUCCUACAAUAUAUUUAUUACUCAAGUAUUGUCAUGGCUCAAUUUGAGGCUUUUUAUGGGAGAAGAUGUAGAUCUCCGAUUGGGUGGUUUGAGGUAGGUAAGUUUUCUCUAAUUGGUCCUAAAGUAGUUUAUGAGGUCGUAGAGAAAUUUUGACUCAUAAAGGAUAGACUAAAGAUGGCCCAAAGUCGGGAGAAAUCUUAUGCUGACAAUAGGAAGAGGGACCUUGACUAUAUGGUAGGUGAGAUGGUCUUUUUGAAUAUAUGACCCAUGAAAGGGCUAAUUUUGUUUGGUAAAAUAGGGAAGCUUAGUCCCCGGUAUGUUGAUCCAUAUGAGAUUUUGAAACCUGUCAGAAGUGUUGCCUAUGAGUUGAAAUCACCUAUUGAGUUCGCUCCGGUGCAUCAGGUAUUCCAUGUAUCAAUGCUCAAAAAGUACAUGGCAAUCCUGUGUCUAUCCUUCCUCUAGAUGGUUUAGGGGUUGAUGUUAACCUUUCCUAUGAAGAGGUCCUGGUUCAUAUUUUAGAUCAUCAAUUAAAUAAUUUGAGGAAUAUGGAAGUAGCUUCCAUAAAGGUUUGUUGGAAGAAUCAUCUUGUGGAAAGUGCUACUUGGGAGGCUGAGGCCGAUAUGAUGUCUCGAUACCCUCAUCUUUUUCCCUCCUCUUCUAUUCAAAGUUUAUAUUAGAAAUCCCUCCUUGUUUUCAUUAAUGAAUGGUCAUAAGUGUAUUUGAACCUCCAUGAUUUUCCUCCAUGUAUGCAUGUUUUGUGAAGAAUUUAUGAAUCAUAUGUUUUUCAUACUUGAUGGCACUUGAUAUGUUUUUUGUAUAUUUCACUUUGUAUGAUAUUUUAAAUUAACGUGCUCAAGUAUGAAUUGAUGGAAUGAUGUAUUGUCUGCUUGUUGAACAUGUUGAGCUAUAUGAGAAGGAGAAGGAAAAUCCUCCUUGAAUAAUGUGAAGUGAUGAAGUGCAUAUUUGGUAGUUGAUAUACUUUAUACCUCAUGAUGAUGCAUUGUGUGGUUGAUAAUGGAAUUAAUGCUUCUUCCUUUUGUAUUUAAUUAUCACUAUAUAAACCAUGUGUUGGUUGGUCUACUAGUAUUGAGUCAUAAAUUCCAAAAGGAAGUUUGAAGUGACAUUCGAGGAUGAAUAUUCCCUCGAGGGGGAUAUUGUUACACCUCGGAAAUCUAAUGACUUGAGCUAGAGCUUUGAAUAGAGGCAUUGAAAUAAAAUUGUUUAAAAUGAUGUUUCUAUACCUAACAUAGUGUAAUCAACUUGUUAGGAGGUAUUAGAUCUAAACGUCAAUAAACGAAUAUGACGUUUGGACACUAUCAAAAUUGAACUAGUGUGUUCUUAGGUGUUGUAAGGGGCUUUAAAGUAUCGUAUAAUGAUGAAAUGUUUUAAAAAUGCUUUACAUAUGUAAAACCAAGUGUUUAAGGUCUAAAUGUUUGGGUACGACCCCCCAAGGACCACCCUAUGGAUCCUUGAGAAGGACAUAACCAUUUGACCCAAAAAGGUUGUCAAAUAAUAGCUUGACUUAUGGUGGGCAAUGACGAGCAUCCACUGGUAUUACUCCCCAUAAGUGAGGCUCGUGGGUUGAAAAUUAGUCUCCCCACCAUAUCUUCUCAUUUCCCUCUUCUGUGACCAUAUGUACGACCUACAGGACGGACCGUAACACAACCUACUAUCCGUAGGUGUGGCCGUAGGUCACUACUAGGUAAGUGUGUUUUCACUUUUAAGUUAGGGGUCUUAAUUUAGUUAUUUAACUAGGGGUUAGGAGGGCUGGUUAGUGAUUUAAUACCCUAACUAAACCUAACUAUAAGACCCCAACCCCAAGACCCCAAGUCAUUCAAACUAAACUUAUAAAAGAAAGUCAAACUCUCUCAACUCAAGAUUCCAUUGAAGAAGAAUAUAAAGCUUUCUGUAGGGCUUCAAGAAUAAGAAUUUUCUCCUAUAAUCCUUAAGUUUUGAUAAGGUAUCGAAACUGUUUACUCUUGGGACUCCUUUCCCCAAGAGGUUCCUUCAAAUUGAAUUUAAUGUUCUUCUAAUUUUCUAGAAUUCACUCAAAUUCGUGAGUCACCUUUAAACUUGAGUUAUUAUAACAACCGAAGAGUACCCCCUAGACGUUACCGGCGUACUCGACCCCGAAGGGAUCUUAUAAAAUCCCAUAGCGUAAUUGUCACUACAUAAUGAACUUAAAAUAAUGCAGAAAAAUUAAAAACUUUACAUAUAGAGUAUGCUUAGACUUAUCGUUUAUCCAUAUAUGAAGUUUACAUAGACUUCUCAUUUAACAACAUAUCCAAAUUCAUCAACAUAGUCUAAUAUUGUUUCACACACACCAUAUAUUAGUAAGAGUUCAACAAAAGUCUUCAAAUGGGGUCCUUAUCCCUUUAGACACAACAGUCUUUAGAAUAAAUGUACAUAAGAGAAGAUUACUAAGUCUAUUACAUCAAUAGAGAAAACAUAGAGUGGUAUAAAGUGCAUAUGUCCUUAGAUCUUUGACUUAGAUCUUUGAGGACCUACCACAAAUCUUCAGGAUAAGAAGUUCAAGCUUUCUUAAAUAGUAGAGGAGACCAAUUAGCCAGAACCUAUACUCAUAUAUUAUUAUAAGUGAGAAGCUCCAAAGUAAAAAGUUGAAUUACCGUUUUACCCCUCUACUAAAUUUAAAUUUUUAUAAUUUUGAUAUAUAUAUAUAUAUAUAUAUAUAUAUAUAUAUAUAUAUAUAUAUAUAUAUAUAUAUAUAUAUAUAUAUAUAUAUAUAUAUAUAUAUAUAUAUAUAUAUAUAUAUAUAUAUUCAAAAUCUUUAUUUUUCAAAUUUCUCACACAAAUUUUAAAAAAAUACAAAUGAGUAAUUAUUCCUUAAAGACAAGAAAUUAGAGUAGAUUCAUGUCUUUUUUAAAGUUAAAUUUCAUCUCAAUCUUUUUUAUAUUUAUUUUAAUAGUAUUUGACCUUUUAAUUUUCCAUGUGUCUUUUCAUGUUUCCAGAAUUUUGUUCUAUAAAUUUAAAUUUUUUUCUAAGAAAAACUUUUGUUUACUAUUCCUACAAUUCUUGUGUGUAGGAACUCUAAAAUUUAUUUCACUUAUUAAAUUUUCUUCUUUCAUCUUCCAAUAGUAACUUAUUUUUACAUUCUUCAUUCAUAUUUUGAUGUAUAAAAUAUCUUUGGUAUUAUUUGUUGUACAUAGUUUAAUCUUCUCAAUGAUAUUUAUUCUAAUCAAUCUUUUCACAUCAUUAAAUACUCUAUAAAGUAUCUCAUAAGGUGGGUUUGUCCAAUUAUUUCAUUUGCCUUCUUUGGUUAGAUUUCUCCUCCAAAAAGAGUCUACUUCAGGUAAAUCUAUUCCAAUAUAAUUGAUUUAGCUAUAAAUAUUGAUCACCACUUUUUAUAUUAUUGCUAAGCUAGCAGCAUAUUCACUUUUUAGUACAAUAUCUAUUUAUGAAAAGUUUCUGUUGCAAUAAAACUCAAAUUCAGAUAUAAGUUGAUCUAUGAAUGCCUUUGCAUAUUUGAACUUUGAAAUGUGUGCAUGGACUAUGUUUGGAGCACACAGGUUCAUAAUUGACUGUGUGUUCGUAUAGUUUAAAAUGUUAUGAAAUACAUAUGCGUUGCACGUGUUCGAUAACUAGUAAUAGAAACGGGGUAAAGGGGUUAGUACAAUUUUUGCAUUAAGUAUGGAGAAAUGCAUAAAAACCUUUAAAACAUGUGAACGGUCAUUUACAUGAAAAGUAUGCAUUUAUGAUGUUUUCGUAAGACAUUUACAUUCUCGAGACAAACACAUAAGGCAAUAUAUCAAUAAUAAUCCAACUUACAAUGAAAGCAUAACUUAAGUGCUUCCUAGGGUCAACUUGUGCAAUGUAGGAUUAGUAUCCCAUGCUACCAAUCCUACCAGCAUCCCUUUAACAACCACCUUAGCCACACAUGUUACUUUUACAUUCAUUCUAAUAGAGAUGUUAUCAUAAUUAAUACAUAACUACAAGGAACCUCCUACUGCAACAUACCCCCCUCUUAUACUUAUUAAACUCAUUAGAAUGUCAUGGAAUAGUUCAUACUUAUUCAUUUAUUCAAUACUUUAGGGAAUUUAAACCAUAACAGACAUAGACCAUGAGAGCAUCCAUGAAAUCCGGUGUCAUAAAGCCCCAUACUGAAAAAGGGUGUUCUAUUUGCAAAGGUACAACCUACAUACUAGCUAUUAUGUGGAUCUACUAGUUAUGUCCUAUAGGGGCACGUAGUUAAGGGAUAGGAAUAUUUCUUCUAAGGGCUCUACCUAUUGCAUUACGCCAUCUCAUGAGUAUCACUAGGAUGACCCAACCUCUUGCAUUAAUGGAAGGGUCUUUUCCUCAUUGGUCAUAUCCUCUGGGUACUUAGUAUACUAUCCUAACUUACUACCAUUGUUCUUUAAUUGUACCUACACGUGUAAACAGUAAUCCAUCUUCAUUCAAUACAAUUUAACAUAAAUCUCUUAGAUUCACUAGGUGAAAAUAUACUUUCACCCUAGGAUCAUCGACAUAUGUGAAUAUCACUUUUCACAAACUCAAUUAUAGUGUUUUCAAGAGGACUAUACUUUCAAUCGACAUUAGAGACCAAUUUCAUUAUACAAAGUACAUGCCAAACCAUAGGCAAGGUUCAAGAGGAUGAAAACCAUACCAAUUACCUUUCUUGUAUCCUUUAUUAAGCCAUGCACCUUGCAAGUAAGUUCAAGUCUAUGUACAACAUUCUUCAUCAUAUAAAAAACCCUAGAAUGCCCUCUUUUCAAGGAAUCAAGUAUCAUAAUUACCCUCAUCUGUAUCAUAAUAGACAUGGAAGAAAAGAUUGUACAACUAGAUAAUCAUCAAUUACCAUACUACAAUGUUCAUAUUUACUCAAUUCAUUCAUACACAUUCCUAAAAUUGGGUUAAUGGGGUGCACAUGGGUUCUUUGAAGGUUUUAACAAUAAAAAUCAUUUGUUGUUACCAAUAUAAUCAUAAUAAAAUACAUAUAAAAUAAAUAAAACAAUUUAAGAGUGAACCCAUGGCUAGAUCACAAAACCCUAGUUUUUAGUCACAAUUUAGAUUUCGAAAAUAAAAAUUCAUAAGGGCUUCAUGGAGAAACUAAUACAUGAAUCAAUAUCCCCAUACCUUAAUUUAUGAUAUUCCUCAAAUUUGAAGUGGAAAAGGAUGAAUCUUAAGUGCUACAGCUUGAGUUCUAAUUUUUUUCUUCAAUGGUGGUCUAAAGAGAGAAUUUGUGAGGGAGGGAAAAAUGGGUUUUGAUUUUUGAUUUUGAGGUUAUGAAGAGUUGGUUGAUUUAUGAGUUAAAGUCUUUUAAUAUAUGUAAUAUAACUAAAAUAAACCUACCCAACAUUUAAUUAUCUAAGGGUGGAAUUUACCAAACCACCUUGGCUUGGUCGUGCAGUGCACCAGAUUGUAGGCACCAUCGAUGCUUCCAAAUGACGGUCUUUUGUUCCAUGAACAGACUGACCUCAAAAGUCGUCGUUUUCAUUACAGACUGCUCAAAAUGGAUCUUUCGCUCCACAUUCUAUGUGUGGACUCACGGGUGCAAAUGAAAGAGUGUGAGUCAAUUGACAGGGCGUCGAUGCCCUCGUUCGUUUGCACACUAUUUUUGUGUAGCUUCUUAAGGUCAAAUAUUGGGUCCUCCUUAAGGACCCCUAGGGUGGUCCUUGGGGAGUUGCACCCAAAUGUUUUGAUCCUAAACACACUCUAAGGUGUUUUCAAAUCCUUAUACAAAAUUUGACCUUUUUCUCUAUAAACCCCUUGAACCACACCAAGGCACACUAGUUCAUUUUCACAAGCAUUGGGGCGUCGUGGUCGUUUCUUGACGUUUUGAUUCUAACACUUCCUAAUUAAGUUCAUUACCUUUUGUUUAAGCUUAGAACAUUAUUUUAAGUAUUAGUUCAUCAAAUGAGGCUCUAGACUAAGUGAUGAACUUCCGGAGUGUUACAUUAUCCACCCCUUGGGAACAAUCGUCCCUAAAUGACACCUAAAUCUCUUUAUAGGGAGAGAAUGACUCAAUACUAGAAGCCCAACCAACAAAAACAACAACAUAAAAUCAUCAUGAGUCACAACUCAUAGGAGUACUUCACAACUUCAUUCAACACAUAACCAUAGCAUUACAUAUAGUAACUCAAUUCACAAUUCACAAAAUCUAAGAGCUCAAUAUUUCAUAUCACAUAAUGAGAUACUAUCUUCUCAAUAACAACAUGAGAUCAACAUGAACAUCAAGAGUUACCACACAAUUCUUAUUUCAAACAAAAUUAAACAUGCUUACUAAAAUUUCUCAUGAACACAAAGCAUAAUAUACUACAUGCAAGUGCAAAUUAGCCAUGGAAAUAAAUUUCAUAAAAGCGCAAUUUAAGCAUGAAUUUUUAAAAUGACAUGCACAUACUAGCAAAACAAGCCAAGUGUUACAUUAUUCAAAUAAAUUUAUUUUAAUAGGAACUACUAACCUCAACCUUAGAUAAUUUUAGUGGAAAAAUAUGAGGAUAAUUGGACUACAUGUCGGCCUCGGCUUACUAUGUUGCACCCUCAACUAGGUGGUGUGUCCAUACGACCUUUACAAAGGGAACCUCUUUAUUCCUCAAUUUAUUGACUUGAUGAUCUAGGAUCUCAACGGAAUCUAUUCAUAAGAAGGGUUCUCAUCCACUCCUAACCCUUCAAUCGGAAUAAUAGAUAUUGGGUCGCAUAUACAUUUCUUGAGCUAGCGAUAUGAAAUACUGAGUGAACCGAGGCUAAUUCACUUGGUAAUUCAAUAUCUCAUAAGGGCCUUCAUACCAUGAACUAAUCUUCCCCUUUAUACCAAAUCUCAUCACCCCUUUCAUGGGGUGAAAUCUUCAAGUAGACCCAAUCACCUUUUGCAAACUCAAAGUCUCUUCUUCUAUUGUUGGUAUAAGAUUUUUGCGGACUAUAGGAUGUUUUCAACCUAUCUCUUAUCAUCUGAACCUUCUCUAAAGCCUCAUAUAUUAUCUCGGAACCAUGGAGUGAAGAUUCACCUACCUCAAACUAGCUAACCGUAGACCUACAUCUCCUACCAUAGAGUUCUUCAAAGGGUACCAUAGAAAUACUCAAAUGGUAGUUAUUGUUAUCGAAGAACUCUACCAACGGUAGGUGAUAGUCCCAAUUACCCUUGAAUUCAAUACACAAGAUCGCAACAUAUCUUCAAAGGUUUGGCUGGUGCGCUCGACUUAGCCAUCUGUUGAGGAUGAAAAGUGGUACUAUGUUUCACUUGAGUACCUAGUCCCUUUUAAAAUAGACCUCCAAAAAUGAGAACUGAAUUGGGCACCUUUAUCCGAGAUGAUGGAUAAAGGAAUCCCAUGCAACCUCAAAUCUCAUUAAGUUAUAAUCUAGCAUAUUCCUCUGCCGAAUAAGUAGAUUUGAUGGGGAUAAAAUUGGCAGAUUUUAUCAAUCUAUCAACAAUGACCCAUAUGGAAUCGUUUUGCCUCCGGGUAAGGGGAAAACCUACAAUGAAGUCCAUUUUUAUAUAUUCUCAUUUACAAGUAGGGACAUCCAUUACAUGAGUUAACCUCUCAGUUUUUGAUGUUCGGUCUUGACUUGUUGACAAUUAGGACAUUCAGCCACAAACUCCGCUACAUCCCUCUUCAAACCGUCACACCAAUAGACCUCUUGAAGAUCACGAUAUAUUUUAGUUGCACCCAGAUGAAUAGAAUAUAAUGAAUCAUGAGCUUCUUCCAAAAUUUCCCCUCUCAAAUUAUCAACAUACGGAGCACACAACCUACCUUUGUACCUACUUACACUUUCCCCUCUUGGGAGGAAGAUGCAUUGAGCUUACUAAGAACCGACGCCUUCAACUCCAUAAAUAAAGGGUCAAGAUGUUUCUUAGACUUCACCUCAACCACUAAAGACGACUUGGAGUUAUGAUGAACCAUGAAAUCCCCUUUUGGAGAAUCUUCUAAGGAACACCUAACUGGGCCAAUCUAUGCACAUCUUUCGCAAGCUCUUUAUUACCCACUUUAACAUGAGGCACACUACCAAUAGUCAUUAGACUCAAAGCAUCGGCAACAAUAUUUGGUUUUCCAGGGUGGUAACAGACACUCAUAUCAUAGUCCCUCAAGAGAUCUAACGACCUUCUUUGCCAGAGAUUCAACUCCUUUUGAGUGAACCCAUAUUGGAGUCUCUUAUGAUAGGUAAUACAUCCACAUGGACUCCAUAUAGAUAAUGCCUCCAUAUUUUCAAAGCAAAUAAUAUGUUUGCUAACUCAAGAUCAUGAGUCGGAUAGUUCUUUUCAUGCACCUUGAGCUAUCUAGAGUCAUAUGCUAUUACCUUGCCAUUUUUCAUAAGGACACAACCCAAACCUACUCGAGAAGUGUCACAAUAUAUCACACAUCCUUUUGGGCCCUUCGGCAAGGCCAAUACCAGAGCGAAAGUACGCUUGUCUUUAAACAACUAAAAAUUCUUCUCACAUGUCUCUGACCAUACAAACUUAGAAUUAUUUUGAGUGAAGGUCGUCAAUGGAGAUUCGAUAGAGAAAAGAUCCCUCAACAAACCUCCUAUUAUACCCGGCCAAACCCAAAAAGCUUCUAAUGUCGGUAGGACUCAAAGGUCUAGUCCAACUUUUGACUACUUCCAUUUUUCUUGGAUCUACUAUUACCCCUUCACUUGACACAAUGUGACCAACAAAAGCAACCGAUCUCAACCAAAACUCACACUUACUAUAUUUGUCAUAGAGUUGGGCAUCCUUGAGAACAUGCAAGAUUGUUCUCAAAUGGUUCACAUGAUCACCCUCGCUUUUAGAAUAUAUCAAGUUGUCCUGAAUAAAGACUAUCACAAACAAAUCUAGUUAGUUUCAAAAAACUCGAUUCAUAAGUUCCAUGAAAGUCGGCGGGGCAUUUGUUAGACCAAAAGACAUGACUCAAAAGUCAAAAUGACCAUGCCUAGUUCAGAAAGUUGUCUUAGGUAUGCCAACUUCUUUAACUCUUAGUUAAUGAUACCCCGACUCAAAUCAAUUUUUGAGAAGUAUCUUGCCCCUUCAAGUUGGUCAAACAAAUCGUCAAACCUAAGGAGAGGAUACUUAUUCUUUAUGGUGACCUUAUUUAGUCGUCAAUAAUCAAUGCACAUCCUAAGGAACCCAUCCUUCUUUCUUAGAAAGAACAUCGGAGCAUCCCAUGGCAAAAUACUUGGUUGUAUGAAACCUUUGUCUCAUAAAUCUUUGAGUUGAAUCUUUAGUUCCUUCAACUUGGUCGGAGCCAUUCGGUAAGGAGGAAUUAAAAUGGUUUCCUAUCCGGCAAUAAGACAAUGUCGGAGUCUAUUUCCUGCUCGGGAGGAAUUACAGGUAAGUCAUUGUGGAAGACUGUUGGAAAAUCCUUCACUACGGGGACCGACUCUAUUGAGGGAAUCUCAGACUCAAGAUCCUUGACUCUCACAAUAUGAUAAAGACAUCUCUUAUAGAUUAACUUUCAAGAUUUAAGACAUGAAAUGAUUCGACUUUUUAGAUCAAGAUUUCCCCCUUCCACUCAAAAAUGGGUUCAUUUGGAAAUUGAAAAUUUACUACCCGAGUUCUACAAUUGAUGGAAGCAAAACAAGAAUGUAGUCAAUACAUCCCCAAAAUAACAUCAAUGUCAAACAUAUCUAGUUCUACAAAAUCCACCAAUGUGACUCUAUUGGGAAAUGACACGGGACAACCCCUAUAAACUCUUUUAACAAGUACAAAAUCACCCACUUGGGUGGAAACUGAAAAGGUUCAUGGAAGACAUCGGGAAGUACGUCAACAUCAUGGCCACAAAAGGGGUUACAAAAGAUAAAGUGGCAUCGGGAUCUAGUAAAAGCAUAAACAUAAAUGCAAAACACUUGUAACAUACCGGUGACAACAUUGGAAAAUCCUCUUGAUCACCGCUAUUGCAGUGAGCAUAGAAGUGAUUUUUUAGGAGCAUUAGGGUUUGGAAUAUUAGUGGGAGCUUUGGUGAUUUCCCUUUCUUUGGCCGCACGGAUUGGACAAUCCUUCAAUUGGUGGCCACCUUUCCCACAUCCAUAGCAAACACCCCAUAUAAAAAGACACUUCCCUUCAUGCUUUUUACCACACUUGAAACAAGUAGUUCUUUCCACAAAAGGGUCACUCUUCUCCUCUCCUUGAGGUUUAGGGGUAGUCAUCUUCCCUUGAGUGGGAUUUGGAGCAUUGGAGGGACUUGAAUUGAAGAACCUCAUUUUGAACCUUGGUUUAUCUUGUAUCUCAAAUCUAGCCUUGGAUAAAUUUCCCUCAUUGGGCUUUGAUCUCUUCAACUCCCUACCAACUUGUUUAAGCUUCUGCUCCUCAAUUUGUUCGGCGUGGACCAUAAGAUGAGAAAUGUCCAUGAUUGGAAUUAGCAUAGCCAACCUACAUUCAUUCACCAUAAGAUUGGAUAUUCCCCAUAAAAAAAAUUAUUCGUCUUGACUGUAGAGUCCCCCACCAUGGUGGUAGCACACUUGGAUAGUUGAGUAAACUUGAGGAUAUACUCCUUCACACUCAUAUUCCCUUGACGAAGAUUGAUGAAUUCUUUCAUUUUUCUCUCUCUUAGUUCCAAGGGAAAGAAACUAUCAAGGUAAGUCGUUUUGGAUGCCCCCCAAGUAAUCUGGACUUCUCUAAUCGGCCUAUCAUCUUUCCAUUGUUCAUACAAACUUGAGCCACAUCUUUAAGUUAAUAGGCAGCUAGAUCCUCCUUUUCUUGAAAAGUCACUCACAUUGCAUCUACCACCUUGAUUACUUCAUCUAUGAACCCUUGUGGGUCUUCCUCCACCUUGGAUCCAAAGAAUGUAACGGGAUUCAUCCUUGUGAAAUCUCUUAUCGUUGAAGCGGUAGUACUAGUAUUGGAGUUCACUUGCACUCUAGCAUCCCUAGCAACUUGGGUAGGAAAUAUUUGAGUCAAACUAUGGAUGGAAGUCGUUAUCUCAACAUUAGACAUAGCCCUUUAUUCAAUAGGAACUUGAGGGUUUUGAGAAACUUGAGAGGAAUUGCCUCAUUCAUAUUCUCAUCUUCGGCCCUCUAGCAUUAUUCCUACUAGUAUUCAUGGCCUAUAAGCAUAAGAAAAGGAUUAGAAGGAAAAAGUAUAAUAGAGUUAGGACUCCAAAAAGGAUCAUAGAAUAAUGAAAAAAUCUAAUCAUCUCAUAGUACCCUAUUCAUAAAGGUGGUGCGAUUCACCUUUAUGAAUAACACUCUACUAAACGUGGUGUGUGUGAAAUAAGCCCUACUAUUAUACCAAACCUUAUGCUCUAAUACCAAGUUUGUAACGAUUGGAGAGUACCUUCUAAACGUUAUCGGCAUACUAGACCCCGAAGGGGUCUUCUACAAGACCUUAGUAUAAUCAUCACAUCAUAAUGAACUUGAAAUAAUGCAGAAAAUUAAAAACUUUACAUAUAAAGUAUACUUAAACUUCUCGUUUAUCCAUAUAAGAAGUUUACAUAGACUUCUCAUUUAACAACAUAGCCAAAUUCAUUAACAUAGUCUGAUAUUGUCUCCCACACACCAUCUAUUAGUAAGAGUUUAACAAAACUCUUCAAAUAGGGUCCUUAUCCCUUUAGACAUAAUACUCUUUAGAAAAAAUGAACAUAAAAGAAGGUUACUAAGUCUAUAACAUCAAUAGAGAAAACAUAGAGUGAUAUCAAGUGCAUAUGUCCUCUGACCUUUACGGACCUACCACAAGUCUUGGAGAUAAGAAGACCAAGCUUCACUCAAUAGUGGAGGAGCAACCAAUUAGACGGAACCUAUACUCAUAAUAGAAAAGGGACAAAAGGGGUUACUAAAAUUUAUGCACUAUGGAUAAAUGCAUUAAAACCUUUAAAACAUGUGAAGGUACAUUUACAUGAAAAAUAUGCAUUUAUGAUGCACUUGAAGGAAUUCACAUAACGGACUUGGAAGACCUAGGAAACCCACUCUAGUACCUUCAAAACCUACUCGUGUUACGUGCAGAUAGAAUCCCGUUCUACUACCUACAUGUUGUAGGACCUAUCCAAUAGCUAAAGUGUAUAUCCCACAUGAUGAGAAUAAGCAUUAACCGACAUAGACUACACUAUCUAGGUAUGUAAUCCGGUGUCAUAAGACCCCACACCGCGGAAGGUGUUCUACUUGUCAAAAGUAGAACUAGGACAAAUCCCAUGUAGGCACAUGAUUUAAGGGAUAUCAAAAGGCUUCUUUGUACUCUAGUCUCAUUCUUAAGUAAAGAUGCAACCUUAAGCAUAUCUACAUGGUCCUUUUCCUUAGUUCUCAUAGAGUAAGUUCAUUCACAAAAGAUUAUUAGAAAAGGUACCAUCCCUAAGCCUUACCAAAUCACAAUACCACUACCAAUACCACUACUAAGAAGGGAUCCACAAUCGUCUACUAAUCAAGGUUCAUUAGGAUAACUCAAUCAUGAAACGGAUACCUUGCUAGGUCUAUCUGAUUCACUUCAUUAUUAACCUUCUUUUCAUAUUCAAGGUUUACAUUCACUUACGAUUCUAGACUCAUCAAGAAGAGGCACCAUUCUUAGGUAUACUGGUUCAAGAAAUUCUCUAUAAUACCUCGUUUAUCAUUGAAGUAUCAAGUAAGGACAACAAGGUCUACAUAAACAAGACACCAUAUCUACACAUAGAGACUCUUCAUAGUCUAUAGUCAUCACAUACCAAUAUUUAGAGGAAACAUGCUUCCAUUCAUAAUAUCAUAUAGCUUUAUACACAUUCAUCUCAACAUCAUAUAGCAACUUCACAAUAUGCCCAUCUUCCACAACAAAACCAAUCUUUAAUUCACCUCAUAGAGCCAUUAAGAUCACAAUCAUAAUAAGAACAAGUAGUAAGAACCUCCACUAAAUGUGGAUCAAACCAUACAAAAUCAACCUUACUAUAAUAAUAAAUUGAAUCAACUCACCAUUCUCCAAUAUUACAAUUCACCAUUAUUCAACUUCCAAUAUAACAAGCGAAUACCCAUCAUCAUGCUCAUAAGGCCAAAUAACCAAUUCAACCUUACCUCAACAAUUCAACAUAUAUAGGUAUAUAUAACAAUAAGAAUCAACACUAUAAAAAACUCUAAAUACAAUUCUAUCUAUAGACAAUCACAAUUAUCAAACCCACUUUACAAGCUAAAAUUAAGAAAUUAGAGGGAUCAUGAGUUCAUGAGGUUUUCACUUGAAAUUAUCAAUUAGAACUUAAUAUAAUCAUAAAAAUCUGAAACCAUUUAAUGCAAGAACCUAUGAGUUAAAUAAAGAAUGGGUUUUCAUCAUCUUUUGAAAAUCUAAAAUCUCUUUGAGAGUUGGCUCUAGAGAGAAAUCUAAUACUAGAUAAAGAGUCAUCAUACCUUAGUGUUGAGAAGACCACAAAAUUUGGGUUGAAAACUUAGAGAAUUGAUCCUUUUCUUGGAUCUUGAAAGUUCUUCAAUGGAGGAUUUGUGUAGAGAGAGAAUCUAGAGAGAAGGGAGAACUUUUGAUUUUUAAUUUGAGGGUUUUGUUUUUGAUUGGUGAAUUGGGUAAAAGUGACUUACAAAUCGUCUAUAAUAAUUCCUAAAAGUUCCCUAAACACCCCUACACUAUUUGGACCUUUUAAGUAACUCUAACUUGACCCUUAUUUUUCGAACUUUCAUCGAGGAGAAAGUCCGCAAUGCGGAGGUGUUCCCUGGAGUUUCUGGAAAUUAAAUUUGGGACAGAGAGGUCCAAGACCAUGUCCGCUACGUGGAACAAAUUUUUGUUCCUUUGUAGAGCAUGUCCGCGAUGGAACUAGCUCCCUAAAGGUUUUGCCCACAAGCAGUAUUGGCAGCUUCUUGGCCGAACCUUGGGUCCUCCUCAAGGACCCUUAGGUUAGUCCUUGGAUAGUUGUACCCAGAAGUUUUGACCCUAAACAUGUACAUCUAGUUGUUAUGGUCAUCACUACUGAUCUAGACCUCAAAAAAUACACUAACAUUCAACCCAAAACACCUAUCAACAUUCGAGCAUACAAUGGACUAGUCUUUGAAUGUAUUGAUCGUUUCUUGACGAUUGACCUCAAACACAACCAAUAUGACCUAUAAACUCAUUUACUCUUACUAAGUUAAUAACUCUGAAAAACCCAUGUGAGGCUCUAGAUCAUCCUAUUUCAUUUUGGGGUGUUAGACUAGAAGAUGUAGAAAGAAACAAAGAAUACCAUGUUCACAAUAGUCUCUAAGAGUGUUGUAAGCAUUGGUCAGGACAAGGCCACAAUCAUACCCAAACGGUACAAAAAAUUUAAACAUCCAAUGAAAGUUCAUGAAUAGGUGGAGCUUACCAACUCCCGGCUGAACCAUGAAUCCUAAAGAAUGGGUCAAUCAAAAACACUACCUAGACUUGCAAGCAGGAAUAAAAAAUACAGUGUUCCAGUCAACGGGAUGUCAGUACGAAUAAAAUUGUUUUUGUAUAUAAGGAAGAAAGUCGAAUCAUAAAUAGCUACCGAAAAAGGGUUAUGAAAAUACCACCUAAAAUAGAAAAUUUUAUAGCCUCCCUGGCUGACAUCUGACUUUAUGUAAAGUAAAUAUGCAUCGUAUGCUCAUGUAAUAGAAUAUCAUGAAUACAUACAUACAUUUGCAUACAUAUACAUACAUACAUAAACAUAUAAUAUAUAUAUAUAUAUAUAUAUAUAAUACACAUAUGAAAAUAAAUGUCAUACCCAAUAAAGUGAUAGCAAUGGUGGUGCCUUCGAGUAGUUAACCGACAUCACAUUUACCAACUUGUGGCGAUUUGUGUCUCAUACAUAAAAAUAUUUACAAUACGCCCUAUACCUCCCAAUUAAAGUUUAGGAAUAGAAUGCAUUGUAUGUCAUGUCAUGAAUUUGUAAUCAUUUAUCUUACCAUAAUCAUGUAGUCAAUCUUGCCUUGUUAGUACUGUUGUUCUCAUAAUAUUUUGCAUAACAUGUAAAUGACUCACAGAACCUCAUAUGCUUGUAGGUUAAAUUGGAACACUUCACUCAUAUUUAGAAAGGUAUCUUAAACCCGAGGAUGUUUCUAAAUAGCUUACAUUUGUUCAGUUAGUUUCUAUAGAUGUCUCCUUAGUAGUUUGUAAAAGAAAGUAUUUCAAAAAUAAAUAAUUUAGCGAGGAAGGAGGACGGAUUGCAAAUUCUUAAUGUUCCUCCAUAAAUUUUUUAAAGUUACAACAUCUAAAGAAGAAUAAGAAUAUAUAAACAUUGAUUGAUAGUCAAGGGAACCAACGAAAUGAAAUAUAGACGUUAAGUGUCCUAUAUAAUUGAACAAUUGGAAUAUCAGCAUAAUGGAGUCAUAAAAAAUACUUGAGCUACAAUUCCAAUGCCUUUUAAAAAAAGUCUUUCUAGCAAUAAAAUAGUAAAACAUCAUUUUAUGAUUUAGGUUUCUAAAAUUUGUGCUCAAAGGAAGUACAAUGUUUAGCCUUAAAAUACCCUGAUUAAGAGUCUUGCAGCAUUUAAAUAGACUGUACCACAUCCUUGCAGUAUGUAAUAUACACAAAAUCAUGUGACACGAUCAUUACAUGCAGAAUAGUAACACCUCAGGGUCAAAGUAGCAACUUAGAUAUUAUUAGUAGAGUGAUUAGCUUGUCUAGAGCUUUUUAAAUAUGUGCUUCAAUUCAUUCUCUUUUACAAAUUACAAUAAAAAAAUUAGUGGCAUGACACACAUUUUUUCAGCAACUAUUAACAAGUGAAAACCUACAAAAUUUCCCACCACAACCAAAUGUCUGCACAGCAAUAAAAAUUCGGUGUAUCGUCACACCCCUCCUUUCCAACAGCAAAAUAACCAUAACCAAACCCAAACCAUGUUACCAUUAAAGCCAAAAUAUAUGCAGUACUGUCCUAUAAUUUUUCAACAUAACCUAAUAACUCGAACUCAUGACUUCUGAUCAAUAUCACUUGAGUUCAUCCAAUUAUUACAGUUGGAAUCAUGUCUUUCUCCUCAUAAUUAAUAAUGUCUUAAGAGGUCAGAACUUUAACUUCAACUUGGUUAAGAUUAUAGUAUUUUAACAUGUCUUCUAAAAUACCAAAUGGUCUCCUCAUACAAGAGACCUUGAACCAAGAAGAAACCAUUUGAAAAUCGCAAUGCAAUAAUAGAACUAGUGCGAUGCUUAUUUAUCUUACAAUUCAAUACCCAUCUAUACUUUCUAUUCUCUCCCAAAUUUAUAUCAAUAACAACCACAGACAAAAAAAUAAUUUUCAAGAAUUCCGGCAAAAAUAACAUCAAAAAAUACUUCAAAAUAUCCCAACAUCACAUAACUAUCCAAAUACGAUUUUCCAACUAUCUAUUCAUGUGUUCUUGCUUAUAUAACUUUGUUAUAACUUGAAUUCACUCAAUAAAAUAAAGGGUGAGAAUUCUUACCUCCAUAUAGAAGAAAAACCACCUCAAAUUGAGACUCCUUCACCAUGAAGCAUCCUUCAAAUUACAACUAAAAAGGAGAAAAGAAGUAACAUAAUAUUUAAGAACAUUGGAAUGGUGUAACCAUGCUGAAAUCUUAUAUUUUUUGGUUUGGAUGGUAGGUGAACCCUUAGAGAGGAUUUUGGACUACUUUUAUUCUUAUUUGUGCUAAAAUAAUAAGAUGAAAGGAAAGGAAAAUAAAUAUAAUAAAGCUAAACCGACAUAGGGAUAUGGGGGCCAUCUUAACGUGUCUGCUUGUUUAGUCUCACAACAAUGUCAAUGUAAAUCUAUUCCAAAGUCGUGUUAAUGAACUAAUUAAUGCAUCGUAAAAAGUAGAUGUAAGAUCCCAAAAAUGACAUAGGUGAAGCUAGAGCCUAACAUGGUUGUCAUGAUGGUAUAAGGUCCUAAAGUGGACUAAAAUGUAGUAUUGAGGCAGUGUCUAGAGUUUUAGGUGAUUUAGAAGUGAAACAUCAAGGGACGACCAACGCGUUUGACAACUAAGUCACCUAUGUUCCUCAUAUGUGUUUAGGUGCCUAAUUGUGUGUUUCAUGAUUUAAUGAGGUAAUUAUAUGAGUUAUUAUAGUGUUUAUAGGUAGUUUGUCAAGUUUCAUGAAGUUUGGAGGUCAAACGUCCAAGAACGUCCAUGACGUUCGAAAGGUUUGCCUCGAAAUAACCUCGGGUGUCUAUGCAUGUUUCGUCUCAAGUUUUAGAUGUUCGUUUUGAAUGAAAUUGAUGUGAUAGGUCCUAAAAUAAUAUACUAACAUAUUUGGGUUGGAAACUUCCUAGUAAGACUCCAUGUAGGACCCACAAGGGGCCCUAGAAAGAGGAUCCAAGCUUCGAGCUCAACAUUGCCAUGCAGUGGCAAUCGACUACCCCGAACGACGGCCAGUCGAUCAGGCAAUGGCCCUUCGAUGGAUGUCAUCGAUUAAGCUAUGUGGCCUGCAUGUUGAUAAGAUUCAAAUGCAACCAACGAACCCCAUCGACGGGGCGUAGUCUCACCCAUGGACCGUCGAUGGUGCUGUGAAAAAUCUGCAACCUUUCUGUUAAGGCUUGGGGUUUUUUGGAAAUUUAACCCAAGUCUUAUAAAAUAGAAGGAUGGUUAUUUUGGGUGUUUAAGGUUAUUUUAAGAGUAUAUACCUAAUACUCUCAUAUAAACCCUAGCACCUAUAUCAAAACUCAUUCCCUCCCAAUGUUUCUUAAAAAACCUCCAUAGAGCUCAAGGUGGAGAUAAAGCUUGAAGAUGGAUCUUCAAUGGAGUAUAUAUUCAAUUAUCAUUGUAUUAUUCUAAUAAGGUAUGAGAUUUAUUCAUCUAAGUCUUUCUAUCACCUUAGAUCCAAUUUCAAAGAUGAUUUUCAAAGAUUUCAAAAAGAUGAAAAAGUCCAAUUUCUACUAUAAAUCUUGGGUUCUUGCAUGAAAGGUUUUCGAACAUUAAGAUAUGAUAUUAUUGGUGUAUAAUUGAUGUUUUCCAAUGAAAUUCUCCAUGAACCCUUGACCUUCACAAAUCUCUCAAUUUGACUAAAAUAUGGGUUAUGUGAUCAUGUUUUGAUAUUAAUGAAUUCAAGUGUAGAUUUUUAUGGCUUUUGAUUCAUGUGUAGAUUAUGAUUGAUUGGUUUAUAGGAUGUUUCAAUUUGAUCAAUUGAGUAUUGUAUAUUUUUAGAUCUAUUUAAUAUUAAGCUUAUUGAAUUGAUAUUUACUUAAGGCUUAUGAAUUCUAGUGUAGUUUCCUAUGGGCUAUUGAUUGAUGUAAUAAUUGUAUUGAAUUGAUAUCUAGGUUGUCUUAGAUUAAUGAAUCUAUAAUGAAUUGACCUAGAUUCAUUGAGUGCUAUAGUUUAUGUAUUGAAUUGAUGUUCAUGGCCAUGGGUAAGGUCCUUAUGUUAUUGAAUUGGAUGAUUUGACUUUGGAUUGAAGUGGUGAGAUUGAACGAUGGUAUGCUGCCCUAGCUCUAUUAAUAUUAUAUAUAGUUUUUAUAUUAUAAUGUUAAUCGGUAUGGUCCACUUAUGUUGGCGUGCUAUGUGAAUUGAUGUGGCCUUGUCGACGUUACUUUAUGCAAUAUGAUUAUCAUGGCCUUGUCGCCACUACUAGAAGUAUUUUUAUGAUUUGUGAAGUUGAUUUAUGUGAAGUAUGAGCAUAUCUAUCUAUAUGUGAAGUAAUGUGAAAUUAUGUGUUUUGAGAUCAUGUAGACUAUGGCUAUGUGCUUGUAUGUGUAGUCUUAGAUGUUGAUCCAUAGUUGUUCCUACUUGACUGUAUGAGUCUGUGAUGGUUAUAUUGAUGAUGAUAUGGUUGUGUAUAGGAUGACAUAAAGAUGAUAAGGGUUAUUCCUAAGUGACUUAAAGAAUGACAUGUAAUAUGUGUUAAAGUGAAGUAUGUUGUAUCUUGUAUUUGUUUACUUGUGUCCCUUACUUGAUGCAUGUAUGAAUGAAUAUGAGUUGUCUUGACUUAGGAUGUUAAAGACUCUUAGUCUUGUAUGUACGAAUGACAUGUGACCUUGAAUGAUGUUAACCGGGUCUUUAUGUGUAACCUUGAGCCUAGUGGUAAGGUUAUGAAUGUUGAAGUUAAAAGUCAUAAUGGUAUCCUUCAAGUAAAGGAAUGAUAGACUUAAGGUUGAUUGGCUGGAAUGGCAUCAUAUCAAUCCUUGGGAAAGUCAUUAUGAUCUUCUUAUCACCAUUGUAAGGUAGCUCUAGUGGACCUUUCUUUGGUAAGGUAAAUGUGAUUGGGUUAUGAACUUGAUAUGGAACCCCUUUAUAUGAACCUUUAAUGAAAAUUACUCUAUGAGAACAAAGGCUAGCACCGAGUGACUAUGGUAAGGGAAGUAGUUCUAGUUAAAGGAUGAGACUAGAAUACAAAGCACGCCCUUCAUAUUCCUUAACCAUGUGCCUACAUGGGAUGUGUCCAAGUUCUACCAUUGGCUAGUAAUAUACCCUCAUUAGAGUACGUUAGAACUCCGGAUUCCAUGCUUUGCUACCAUGGUCUAUGUCGGUUAUUUCCUAGUCUCAUCAUAUGGACUACCUACUAGCAUUAGAGAAGUUCUAUGGUUUAAGAGGUGGUAUGGGACGUUAUCUAGAGAUUGCACAAUAGGUUUUGAAGGUGUUAGUUAGAGUCCCUAGGUCUUGUCCAAGACCAUUACUUGAAUGUCUUUAUGUGAUGAAUGAGUCUUAAAUGAACUAAUGAAUGUAAUGAUUUAAGUUAAGAAAGUAUGUUAAAUGAAUAAGUACUUAUCUAGAGUAGUUAAGGGUUGUUUAGUUAAGGUGUGAAGGGGGCAUGAGAAUGGUCACUUUUUAUCUUAGCUAGAUAAGUGUUAAGAAUGACUCUAGUUAGGGAAGAUGGUUGAUUAUAUAGACAUGAUCCAAACUUAGGUAUUCUUAAGGAUUACUUAGGUAAUCUUGAAGAGUCCAAUCAUGGACGUUAUCUUCUUGAUUUACUUAAGUAAGUCUUUUGAUAACCUUUGUAGAGGAGAAUGUCAUAUUAUAUGGAUGCUAAUGUAUUAAGUAAGAAUGAUUCCAUCUUAGGUAGUAUAUAGUAUCUCUUAAGUGUGUGUGUGUGUAAGGGAUUGUAGCGGUUGUUUCACAACUCACUCAAGUGAACCUUAGAAUCACAUUUGAUAGGAGGAUCUCAUAUUCAUGUGAUUGAUGUAUUUGAAAGUGUGUAUAUCUCAUUAUGGGUGGUCUUAAGGAUCAUUUAGGUGUGCCUACAGAGGGUGUAUGGGCGGUCUCUCUUUUUCUUACUUAAGUGAGUCUUAGGAUAGCUCUUAGUGAGGGGAUUGUAUGCUAAAAAGGUUUGUAAAGUGAUAAAAGGAACUUCAUUGUACAAUGAACUAAGUCACCGUGAUGUUUUCCUAAAAAGGUGAAUAAUUGCUAAAAUGAUUUCUUCUGCGUUUCUAAGUUGUUAAAUGUUGUUCUUAUGAUUAUAGUAUGAUGUUUUAAUAAAAAUUCAUGAAAAGCAUGUUAUUUUCUAAAUUUCCCUUUUUCAUUGGUUUUUGCAUGGCUUUCAUACUUAGUGCAUGUAAUGUGCUAACCCUUUCUUUUCCCUUUUUGACUAAAGUGGAGGGAAGUGUGCCACGGAGAGUGGAUAGGUUUCUAAGGGUUAAAGAUGAAGUAUUGGUGAGUCCUCAUCAAUUCGAGGACAAUAUCCACGUGUUCCCUUAUGUCUUAGUCUUUAUUUUAUGUCUUGUAUGGGUUUAGUCCCAAGUAUUGUAUACUCUAAAGUCUAGAGGUUCAAGGAGAUGUUGUAAAGGUUUAAUGUAUUAAAUGAAAGUCUUCCUCUUGUGUAAUCAUUCUGGAAAGAGUUCUUCGUGUGUGAACAAAGUUUUAAAUUAUCACUCAUUUUAGUAUGUUUGUUAUGCAAUGAAUGAUACGAAUGGCUUAGAUGAGACUUCUUGAAGUCUCAUUUGCCGUGUGGCUACACAAGGAUGCUCUAACUUCUAUGGUGUACUUGCGGGUUGUUACAGUAGACUUCUAGACCUUUGAUUGGUAUCUUAGGGUCCUUUUAAAACCUUAAAUAUUAAGAGAAAAUUCUCGAAACAUUUAACUAAAAUUUUAGAAAGUUUAUCAAAGAAACUUACACUAACUUGGACGAAUUUUAUUUUACAAUUUGCUUGACUUCAAAAUUUCAAUCAUCGUGCAACUAUAUUACUUUAUCAAACAUCCUUAUUAUCAUAUAAGACAAUCUUAGUCUUAUCCCUAUAGUACUAGUUAAUUUAAACCUUCUGAACGAGCGGGUGUUACAAGAGGCAUUCUUUAACUCGAACCUGUUUAAAGGAUAACUUUAGUCUAAUUUUUUGAUUUGACAACCCUUUAAAACCUUAUUAUCCCGACAUGAUACACCAAGUCAUAUACACCUCAUACACUCAUGCCCCAUGCUACAUAUAUUAUGUAAAAGAACCACGGGCUCUCACAUUUGGGCUUAGAGUCAAAAUCAUGAUCAAUGGAUGGUUUAUAUGGAAUUGAUUAGAAAGCAUGAAAUUGAGUAUAAGUAUUCAUAAUAUGAGUAAAUCAAACAAAUUAAAUCCAUACAAAUAUAACCCAUGAGGAAUUGAAUAAAAACCUAACCAAUUGAAUUAAAAUUGAAUUGGAGAAAUAAAGAAUCUUUUGAGACUCAAUGGGUGAAUAAUACUCAUUGAUGAACUUCGUACAUACCUUAAUCUUGUAUCUCUAAGCAAAGAUGAAGAAAGGUGACUUGAACUUGAAGAAUCCUUGAGAACCUUGGAGAGAAAACCUUGGAAAGAAACUUCAAAAAUUUGGGGGGAAUGAAGAGAAUGGGUAGAACUUAGGGGUUAAAUCAGUUAUUAAGUCCCUUUUUAUAGACAAAACGACUUACUAUAGGAAUAGGAGCAUAGGGAAAAAAUUCCAAAUACCUCUUUAAAAAUAACUUUCAGACAGCCCUACGGUCCAUACGAAUUCCUAUAGCCCGUUCUGGUGACCUGUAAAACCAACUUUGGAAACCCAAAAAAUUCAUUCAUUUCCCAUAAGACCAUUAUACAGUCUAUUUAAUAUUCUAUAGUUGGUGGACCACAUCUGUAAAACCCAAUUUAACUCCAAAAUCUCUAAAUUUUUGAAGCUUUCUAUGAAACCCAUUAUACGACUCAUAGAAAAAAUGAUGACCUGUCAAAUCCUUCGGUGACACGGAGAUCUUACUAAAUCUCUGAAUCCACCCUAUUAAUUAUCUCUACAACCCGUCAAACUAUCUAUAACAUCAUGUCAAGUCAUAGGUCUAAUCUUCAGAAACUUAAUUUUUCAAAACUCAACUCUAGGUCUACGACUUCGUUCCUGUGGUGUAACGACCUGUUUAGUCGUUUUGAGCAGCAGAUUUUAUUUCGGGAAAAACAGGUUGAGACGACGGACCCCACGACAGACCGUCAUGGGCACGACGGACCGUCGCAGGGUCUCGUUUCAAAACACUUAGAAAAACUAAAAAUUGGGUACUGAAAAUCGACUCUCUGAACUUCGUAACGAAAUGGCAGGACGGACCGUCACAGGUGUGACGGACCGUCACAGACCCUUGGUGGAAAUUUGGGUCUCUGAACUUUGCGACGACCUGCAGGACGGACCGUCGCAGGCACGACGGCCCAUCACAGGUUACGCAAAUCCUAGUCUGGGUCGGAUUUCUUUGCACGUUUUAAGGGACAUUUUGGACUAUUCCUACUUUAAUUAUAAAGUUAGAGGGUUAAGGUUAAUAAGUCUAAUUACUUGGGGGUUAAAAUAGGUAACCUUAAGUUAAUUAGUGGGUCAUUAUUACCAUCUUUCAUUCUUAAUUAUAUAUUAAUUAGGGUAAAAGAAAGAGGGUUGAAUAAAGAAAAUUAGAAAGAACAAAGAGAGGGAAAGAGAAACGAAUUGAGAAAGGAUCGAACGAGAAGAAGGAACAAAAGCCUUGGGAAUUUCUUGCUUAAUCACAAAUCUUCGGUGGAGGUAGGUUAUGGUUUUCAUGCUUUCAUAGUAAACUCUUAAUAGAGAAUGAUAUAUAUUGAUAGUAUUGUAAACCCUGCUAUGUGCUUAAUUGUAUGCAUGCAUGAACGUGAUUAUAUAAUUGUGAUUAUAUUAAGCAUAAUGAAGUUAUUGAAUCCCAAAUCUUGAUAAAAACCUAAUCUCUUUUUAAUGAUGAUGCCUUGGUAAGGGAGAAGGCUUGAUGAACUAAAGUAAUGAGAUUGAUGAUGCCUUGGUGAGAAAGAAGGCUUGAUGAAUUGAUGGAAGGAGAUUAGAGGAUCGGGUGUCACGAACCGACACGUAGAAUUAGGGGAUCGGGUGUCACGAACCGACAUGUAGAAUUAGGGGAUCGGGUGUCACGAACCGACACGUAGAAUUAGGGGAUCGGGUGUCACGAACCGACACGUAGAAUAAGGGGAUCGGGUGUCACGAACCGACACGUGGAAUUAGGGGAUCGGGUGUCACGAACCGACACGUAGAUUUAGGGAUCGGGUGUCACGAACCGACACGUAGAUUUAGGGGAUCGGAGUGUCACGUACCGACACAAGAGGAUUAAUAAUAUGAGGGAGCGGAGUGUCACGUGCCAACACAAGAGAAAUAAAGAUAAUGAAUCUUGAAAGAUGUUAAUAUACUCAAUCUAAUGAACAUGAUUCCCAAAUGAGUAUGGUAUUGAGGCUUGAGUCCUCAUGUGUGAACUUGAUGGUAAUUGUUAAUGAUAUAGUGCUUGUUGUUGCUACAUGUUGAGUAUCAUAGUUGAUUUUAUGAUAUUACUUGGUAUAUAUUGUUUUCUAUUUUGAGUUGGCCGAUGAUAUCUACUCAGUACCCGUGUUUUGUACUGACCCCUACUUUUAUGUUUUCUUCUUGUUUAUUUGUGGAGUGCAGCAAACGUGCCAUCGUCUUCAACUCAACAGUAAUUCAAGCCAGUCUUACUACAUCGGAAAUUCAGGGUGAGCUAAUGCUUCUAGCUUGGACUGGAUCUUCUUCUUCAAGUCUUGAUGCCUUGAACUUCCGGCAUGGACUAGCUUCUUAUGUAUUUUUUUUAGCUUUUAGAAUACUCUUAGUUUAGUCAUUUGAUCGUAGAUGUUCUUGUGAUGAUGACUUCCAGAUUUUGGGGAAUAAUAUAUGUUGAAAUAAUAAUAGUUAUUGAUUUUAUUAAUGAGUUUAAGUCUUCCGCAUUACUUUAUGUUGAUAUUAUAUUGAAAUGUUAAGGUUUAGAUGGGUUGGUUCGCUCACAUAGGAGGGUAAGUGUGGGUGCCAGUCGCAACCCGGUUUGGGUCGUGACAAACUUGGUAUCAGAGCAUUAGGUUCGUUGGUCUCAUCACACAAGAACGAGUCUAGUAGAGUCUUAAGGAACGGUAGGGGGACGCCUUUUCUUUUCCUUGAGAGGCUAUAAGACUUUAGGAAAAUUCCAUUCUUUCUUUCUUCUUUCGUGCUAUUACUUGGGUCCAAUUGGUAUCUAGGUGAUACAAAUUGGUAUCUGACCAUCUUCACUCUAUUUCGCAGAUGGUUAGAACUAGAGCAACGACUACGCCAACACCAACACCAGCACUAGCGGGACAGGGUGCGUCUGAGCCAGCCACUGGGGCUGUAGCUCGAGGAAGAGCAGUGGCAAGAGGCCGUGGUAGAGGUCGUGGGAGGACGUCCUCUAGGGGAAGAGGACGAGCACCUAGCCCAUCUGAUACUACGGUAGUGACUCCUCCACCGACUGAGGAAGUGAUAAGAGAGGGGGAGGAUGGGGUGAAUGAACAAGUGCAAAAUGAGGAAAUGCCACCCCAACCUACCCCAGAGAUGAUCAAUCAGGUUCUGACUUAUCUUAGCGGGUUAUCUGAUCAAGGUCAGGCACCUCCAGUGUUUUCUGCGCCAACCCCUCCGGUUUCAGAAGUACGACAUGCAGCCACUAUGGCUCCUCGUAUGGAGGCCUCAUUGGACAUAGGCACAUUUCCACGUCUGACUACUAGGCCUAUAAUGACAAAUGAUCAGCAUGAACUUUUCAGUAAGUUCUUGAAAUUGAAACCUCCGGUCUUCAAGGGUGCUGAAUCGGAGGAUGCUUAUGAUUUUCUGGUUGACUGUCACGAGCUACUACACAAGAUGGGUAUAGUAGAACGGUUUGGUGUGGAGUUUGUGACUUAUCAGUUUCAAGGGAACGCCAAAAUGUGGUGGCGGUCACAUAUCGAGUGUCAACCAAUAGAGGCACCACCUAUGACUUGGGCCUCAUUCUCUAGCUUGUUUAUGGAGAAGUAUAUCCCCCAAACUUUGAGGGAUAGGAAAAGGGAUGAGUUCUUGAGCCUAGAGCAAGGUAGGAUGUCAGUCAAUGCAUAUGAGGCUAAGUUCCGUGCAUUAUCCCGGUAUGCCACCCAAUUAUGUUUCAGUCCCCAAGAGCGAAUUCGCCGAUUUGUGAAGGGGUUGAGGUCAGAAUUGCGGAUUUCGGCCUUACAGAUAGCGGCAACGGCAAAAUCCUUCCAAGAGGUGGUAGACUUUGUGAUAGAAGUGGAAGGAGUGAAGCCAGACGACUUCACUACGACAUCGACAUCAAAAAAGUUUCGAAAGGGAGGUGAGUUUAAUGGUACUUACACAAGAGGACAGGGUUCGGGAAGUUACUCAGUCCGACCAAUUCAGUCUUCACUACAGACUGUAGUUGGGGGACCACCUUAGACCGGUCAACACUUCUCCGAGAGACCUAUGCUUGACUCCAGAGAGUGUUACGGAUGUGGGGAGACUGGACAUAUUAGGAGAAAUUGUCCAAAACAGAGUUACAGACCCCCAAUAACUAGAGGUAGAGGUGGUCAUGGUAGAGGCCAUUUUUCUGGAGGGCGUGGUGGUCGAGGAAAUGGUGGUCACCAAAACGGCUGAGGUGAUGGGCAAACUGGAGCCACUACAUUACAACAUGGUAGGGGCAACGGACAGACGAACGAUAGGGCCCAUUGUUACGCUUUCCCUGGGCGGUCUGAAGCGGAGGCAUCUGAUGCUGUCAUCACAGGUAAUCUUUUGGUUUGUGAUUGCAUGGCUUCUGUAUUAUUUGAUCCCGGAUCCACAUUUUCUUAUGUAUCUUCCGCAUUUGCUAAUGGUCUUAAUUUACAUUGUGAAUUGCUUGACAUACCUAUUCGUGUUUCUACUCCGGUGGGUGAAUCUGUGAUAGUUGAAAAGGUGUAUAGGUCUUGUCUUAUAACUUUUGUGGGGAGCAAUACUUAUGUAGACUUGGUUAUCUUAGAAAUGGUUGAUUUUGAUGUAAUUCUGGGUAUGACUUGGCUUUCUCCGCAAUUUGCGAUCUUGGAUUGUAAUGCUAAAACGGUGACGUUAGCCAAGCCUGGGGCAGAUCCGUUAGUGUGGGAGGGUGACUACACUUCCAAUCCGGUGCGUAUCAUCUUCUUUCUUUGUGCUAAGAAAAUGGUUAGUAAAGGGUGUUUAGCUUUCUUGGCACAUCUCAAGGAUGACACUACCCAAGUACCUUCGAUUGAGUCAGUUUUGGUAGUCCGCGAGUUUUUGGAUGUGUUCCCUGCAGAUCUUCCUGAUAUGCCACCAGAUAGGGAUAUUGACUUCUGUAUCGAUCUUGAACCGGGCACACGCCCCAUUUCUAUACCCCCUUAUAGAAUGGCUCCCGCAGAGUUAAGAGAGUUAAAAGCCCAACUUCAAGAGUUGUUAAACAAAGGCUUUAUUAGACCAAGUGCAUCUCCUUGGGGUGCUCCGGUUUUGUUUGUAAAGAAGAAGGAUGGGAGUUUUCGAAUGUGUAUAGACUACAGACAACUAAACAAGGUAACCAUAAAGAACAAGUAUCCUCUUUCCCGCAUUGAUGAUUUGUUCGAUCAGUUACAAGGUGCUUGUGGCUUCUCUAAGAUUGACUUGAGAUCCGGUUAUCAUCAAUUGAAAAUACGGGCAACGGAUGUGCCAAAGAAUGCUUUUCGAACGAGGUAUGAGCAUUACGAAUUUGUAGUGAUGUCUUUUGGUCUUACGAAUGCCCCUGCUGCAUUCAUGAGCUUGAUGAAUGGUAUUUUUAAGCCAUAUUUGGACCUCUUCGUGAUUGUAUUUAUUGAUGAUAUAUUGGUAUACUCAAAGAGCAAGAAGGAACAUGAAGAGAAUUUGAGAAUGGUAUUGGAAAUGUUGAGGGAGAAAAAGCUUUAUGCCAAGUUCUCUAAGUGUGAGUUUUGGCUAGAUGCAGUGUCCUUCUUGGGACACGUGGUUUUUUAAGGAUGGAGUGAUGGUGGAUCCUUCUAAGAUUGAGACAGUGAAGAAUUGGGUAAGACCUACUAAUGUGUCAGAAAUAAGGAGCUUUGUUGGGUUAGCUAGCUACUACCGUCGAUUUGUCAAGGGAUUCUCUUCUAUUGCUUCCCAACUGACGAACUUGACUAAGCAAAAUGUUCCAUUUGUAUGGUCAGAUGAGUGUGAGGAAAGCUUUCAGAAGCUCAAAACUUUGUUGACUACCGCACCUAUUCUUACCUUGCCAGUAGAGGGUAAGAACUUCAUUGUUUAUUGUGAUGCAUCCUAUUCGGGUUUGGGUGCAGUGCUAAUGCAAGAGAAGAAUGUGAUUGCUUAUGCUUCAAGACAAUUAAAAGUGCAUGAACGUAACUAUCCAACUCAUGAUUUGGAAUUGGCUGCGGUAGUGUUUGCAUUAAAGCAAUGGAGACACUAUUUAUAUGGGGUUAAGUGUGAGGUCUACACAGAUCAUCGUAGCCUUCAGUAUGUCUUUACUCAGAAAGAUUUGAACUUGAGGCAGAGGAGAUGGAUGGAACUACUGAAGUACUACGACAUCACUAUUUUGUAUCAUCUGGGGAAGGCGAAUGUUGUAGCGGAUGCUCUAAGUAGAAAGGCGGGAAGCAUGGGAAGUCUAGCUCACUUGCAAGCUUCUAGACGCCCACUGGCUAGAGAGGUUCAGACUCUAGCUAAUGACUUGAUGAGAUUAGAAGUAAACGAGAAGGGAGGAUUGUUGGCUUCUGUGGAGGCAAGAUCUUCCUUUCUUGACAAGAUUAAGGGAAAGCAGUUUAAUGAUAAAAAAUUGAUCCAGAUCCGAGAUAAAGUGUUGCGAGGAGAGGCUAAGGAAGCACAAAUCGAUGAGGAAGGUGUUUUGAGGAUCAAGGGCAGGGUAUGUGUACCCCGCGUCGAUGAUUUGAUCAACACCAUUCUGACAGAGGCUCAUAGUUCAAGGUAUUCUAUACAUCCGGGUGCAACCAAGAUGUAUCGUGACCUAAAGCAACACUUUUGGUGGAGCAGAAUGAAGCGUGAUAUUGUUGACUUUAUUGCCAAGUGUCCAAACUGUCAACAAGUAAAGUAUGAACACCAGAGGCCCGGAGGAACACUUCAGAGAAUGCCCAUUCCUGAAUGGAAGUGGGAGAGAAUUGCAAUGGACUUUGUGGUUGGUCUUCCAAGGACAAUGGGUAAGUAUGACUCCAUUUGGGUGAUUGUUGAUAGGUUAACUAAAUCUUCUCAUUUUAUUCCGGUCAAGGUGACUUACAAUGCCGAGAAGUAAGCCAAGAUCUAUAUCUCAGAAAUCAUUCGAUUGCAUGGGGUUCCACUAUCCAUCAUAUCAGAUAGAGGUACGCAGUUUACUUCUAAGUUUUGGAAAACAUUGCAUGCGGAAUUGGGUACUAGGUUGGACCUUAGUACUGCGUUCCAUCCUCAGACCGAUGGUCAGUCUGAGCGAACGAUUCAAGUGUUGGAGGAUAUGCUUCGUGCAUGUGUGAUAGAGUUUGGUGGUCAUUGGGAUAGCUUCCUACCCUUAGCGGAGUUUUCAUACAAUAAUAGCUAUCACUCAAGCAUUGAUAUGGCUCCGUUUGAAGCAUUGUAUGGUAGGAGAUGUAGGUCUCCCAUUGGUUGGUUUGAUGCGUUCGAGGUUAGACCUUGGGGUACUGAUCUCUUGAGGGAUUCGAUGGAAAAAGUGAAGUCUAUUCAAGAAAAGCUUCUAGCGGCGCAAAGUAGACAAAAAGAAUAUGCAGAUCGAAAGGUUAGAGACUUAGAGUUCAUGGAGGGUGAACAAGUCUUGUUGAAAGUUUCACCAAUGAAAGGGGUGAUGCAGUUUGGUAAAAGGGGUAAACUAAGUCCAAGGUACAUUGGACCAUUUGAAGUACUUAAGCGAGUAGGGGAGGUGGCUUAUGAGUUAGCCUUGCCUCCAGGGCUGUCCGGAGUACAUCCGGUAUUCCAUGUGUCGAUGUUGAAAAGAUACCAUGGGGAUGGAAACUACAUUAUCCGUUGGGAUUCAGUUUUGCUUGAUGAGAACUUGUCUUAUGAGGAGGAGCCUGUUGCUAUUCUAGAUAGAGAAGUUCGCAAGUUGAGGUCAAGAGAGAUUGCAUCCAUCAAGGUGCAAUGGAAGAAUCGACCGGUUGAAGAAGCAACUUGGGAGAAGGAGGCGGAUAUGCGAGAAAAAUACCCACAUCUGUUUACAGAUUCAGGUACUCCUUUUUGCCCUUGUUUUCCUUCUUGUGAUCAUUCGGGGACGAACGAUGGGUAAAUUGGUAUCUAUUGUAACGACCUGUUUAGUCGUUUUGAUCAGCAGAUUUUAUUUUGGGAAAAACAGGUUGAGGCGACGGACCCCACAACGGACCGUCAUGGGCACGACGGACCGUCGCAGGGUCUCGUUUCAAAACACUUAGAAAAACUGAAAAUUGGGUACUGAAAAUCGACUCUCUGAACUUCGUAACGAAAUGGCAGGACGAACCGUCACAGGUGUGACGGACCAUCACAGACCCUUGGUGGAAAUUUGGGUCUCUGAACUUUGCGACGACCUGCAGGACGGACCGUCGCAGGCACGACGGCCCGUCACAGGUUGCGCAAAUCCCAAUCUGGGUCGGAUUUCUUUGCACGUUUUAAGGGACGUUUUGGACUAUUCCUACUUUAAUUAUAAAGUUAGAGGGUUAAGGUUAAUAAGUCUAAUUACUUGGGGGUUAAAAUAGGUAACCUUAAGUUAAUUAGUGGGUCAUUAUUACCAUCUUUCAUUCUUAAUUAUAUAUUAAUUAGGGUAAAAGAAAGAGGGUUGAAUAAAGAAAAUUAGAAAGAACAAAGAGAGGGAAAGAGAAACGAAUUGAGAGAUGAUCGAACGAGAAGAAGGAACAAAAGCCUUGGGAAUUUCUUGCUUAAUCACAAAUCUUCGGUGGAGGUAGGUUAUGGUUUUCAUGCUUUCAUAGUAAACUCUUAAUAGAGAAUGAUAUAUAUUGAUAGUAUUGUAAACCCUGCUAUGUGCUUAAUUGUAUGCAUGCAUGAACGUGAUUAUAUAAUUGUGAUUAUAUUAAGCAUGAUGCCUUGGUAACGGAGAAGGCUUGAUGAACUAAAGUAAUGAGAUUGAUGAUGCCUUGGUGAGAAAGAAGGCUUGAUGAAUUGAUGGAAGGAGAUUAGGGGAUUGGGUGUCACGAACCGACACGUAGAAUUAGGGGAUCAGGUGUCACGAACCGACACAUAGAAUUAGGGGAUCGGGUGUCACGAACCGACACGUAGAUUUAGGGGAUCGGGUGUCACGAACCGACACGUAGAAUUAGGGGAUCGGGUGUCACAAACCGACACGUAGAUUUAGGGGAUCGGGUGUCACGAACCGACACGUAGAUUUAGGGGAUCGGAGUGUCACGUACCGACACAAGAGGAUUAAUGAAUAUGAGGGAGCGGAGUGUCACGUGCCGACACAAGAGAAAUAAAGAUAAUGAAUCUUGAAAGAUGUUAAUAUACUCAAUCUAAUGAACAUGAUUCCCAAAUGAGUAUGAUAUUGAGGCUUGAGUCCUCAUGUGUGAACUUGAUGGUAAUUGUUAAUGAUAUAGUGCUUGUUGUUUCUACAUGUUGAGUAUCAUAGUUGAUUUUAUGAUAUUACUUGGUAUAUAUUGUUUUCUAUUUUGAGUUGGCCGAUGAUAUCUACUCAGUACCCGUGUUUUGUACUGACCCCUACUUUUAUGUUUUCUUCUUGUUUAUUUGUGGAGUGCAGCAAACGUGCCAUCGUCUUCAACUCAACAGUAAUUCAAGCCAGUCUUACUACAUCGGAAAUUCAGGGUGAGCUAAUGCUUCUAGCUUGGACUGGAUCUUCUUCUUCAAGUCUUGAUGCCUUGAACUUCCGGCAUGGACUAGCUUCUUAUGUUUUUUUUUUAGCUUUUAGAAUACUCUUAGUUUAGUCAUUUGAUCGUAGAUGUUCUUGUGAUGAUGACUUCCAGAUUUUGGGGAAUAAUAGAUGUUGAAAUAAUAAUAGUUAUUGAUUUUAUUAAUGAGUUUAAGUCUUCCGCAUUACUUUAUGUUGAUAUUAUAUUGAAAUGUUAAGGUUUAGAUGGGUUGGUUCGCUCACAUAGGAGGGUAAGUGUGGGUGCCAGUCGCAACCCGGUUUGGGUCGUGACAUGUGGUGCAUAUAUUUGACUCGUAGAACCUGCUCAAUGGAAAAAAUAGUAUUUCAAUUUUUCUUUCGAAUUUCUAACUUCCAGGAUGCUAUAUUAGUGGUAGCCACUUUAGCGGCCUAGGGACUUCUUAGUCGGGGCUGGCCAGCCAUGUGCUUGGUCGCUUAAGCGGUCAUUUUGCCACCUUAGUGUUAAUGAUUGGUGAAUAUAUCUAGAUGUUCCUCCUCAUUUUCCCAAAAUUUGAAUCAUUUUUAUGUGAUUAAUUUUGACCUAAUGUAAUUUCAUUUUAUUGAGCUGAAAUAGUGUUAGGGCUUUAUAAAGCUCAUUAUUCACGCUCGUAGACCCAUAAGUUCUAAUAAUUUCCUUACCUUUAAGCUUGAUUUUGAAAAUUCUUACGCUAUUUUAUGUUGUGGCGUGUUUAGGAAUCGUUAAUGCUUAUAUUAUGCCCAUGUUUGGGGUACAAGCUCCUUAAACUAAUUGGGACCCAAUGAUGGAGUUAAUUUUGUCUCUUUGCAUGGGUCCCAAAAUGCCAUUUUUGGUUUUUUAGUUCUAUUUUUAUUACAAUUAGGGUGUCAAAAUGUGUGUAUUGAUGUGUGGAUAACUAAUCCAAUAGAAUGGCAUCAUCUUGAGGUGGCUCAGAAAGGGAAGACACCAGUUUAGUGGUUUUCACUAGUGUGAUAGGCUUUGAGGUAGGAUACGUCGUACUAUCUAUUGAUCUUGUUUGUUGAUUGUUCUAGCAUGCUAAUUAGCUAAUUAUGGGGGUGGAUUUCUAGCAUUAUUCCUUGUUAUUUUCCCUACUUGUAUCAUUUAGGCCUUUUUCGAUUAUUUUAGGUGAUUCUUGAGAUUUGUAUUACUCAUUGACAUCCAAUUUGUCACAGUGAGUUGAAUUUAGGCUAUAAUGACCUUAGUGUUGUUAUUGUGGAGUGUUACCUUAUGUUUGGCUAGAGUUACUUUAGAAGUAGAAUUUUAGGGCCCAUACAACUAGUUUUGGGAUUGGAUUUAGGUUAGAUGAUACCGAUCGAGCUAGGAUAUGACCUUCUAGUAGCCCUGCUUGGACUUUUGGUUAGCAGGCUAGGGUGAGUGGUUAGCUUGACUCAUGCAGGGCCCUUUUUACUUUUAGCUUUAUAGCUUACCCGGGGUGAGAUUAUAGGAGAAUCUAGCUAGUGUUGUGGAUAUUCUUAUGUGAGAUUCAUGCAAAGUAACCCAACUAGGUUAAGGAUUAAUCCCACAAAGAGCCUACUUGAUUUAUUUUAAUAAUUUGAUACUGAGAUUCAAAUCAGUAACUAUUAUUGUAACAUUAGAAAUUUUUAUGAGAACUAAUUACUAUUACUUUGAUUCGAUUUAUUUUAAUAAUUUGAUGUUGAGAUUCAAAUCAGUAACUAUUAUUGUAACAUUAGAAAUUUUUAUGAGAACUAAUUACUAUUACUUUGAUUCCUACCAAUAAUAACUGUGAACUAGGAUUAUAGUUCUUAGUUAUCAGAAUGCAAAUAAAUACUUUAUUAUCAAUUCAUUCAUUUGUGUUCAUUGUGCAAAAACUUAUAAAUCGUUAAGUCUCCUAAAUCCUCUUGGCCUAACUAAAAGAAUAUAAUCGUAAGUCCUUCCCGACAAUUGAGUAUCAAAUUAAAUUGUUCAUCAAUCAAAAGCCUCAUGCAAGCUAGUUGUCAUUACAAAAAAUAUACCCUAGGUGUAACAUGACGUAUAGAAACCCGAGAAGCCCUAUACAAGUCACUUAGCAUGCAUCAUACAAGAUAAUUAAAAUAGAUAUUUCAAAUGAAACAGUCUUAUAUCAUAAAAGAGUUUGACAAAAGUGUAAGUUUAACAUAAGUCUCAACAAGCCAUCUAUUAUAUCAGUAGGACGUAACACAUAUAUCACAUAAAAAAUCUGAAAAUUGAAAUGGCUUAUAGAUAUACAAGUAUCUCAGUCCUUGGAAUGCGAGCACUCACCAAUUAUUGAAUUCAGUAGAAUGAUCCACUCGCCACAAGUGUGAGAGAUAGAAGGUCAUACCUUAAACUAAUGAAACAAUGUAUGCACAAGUAUGCAUUAAUACAUCAAAUAUACUACAUAUGGGGAAAUAUGCAUAAAAUAGGCAUAGUAGCAUGAAUAACUUACAAACAUGUAGUGCAUAACAAACAUUUGAAAAAUUAAGGGCUUAAAGAAGCAACAACAUAUAAGUCAUAAGAUAUAGUCAAUGUAUUUGAAAUAACGGAAAAAAGAAAGCUUUGAAAAAAACUUAAUCAAUUUUUAGGAUAUAGCUUUAACCAACAAUAAGACAACGAGAGCUAUGUCAUGGAAGUCGGUAUACCUCUCAUACCAAAAGAAGGGGAUUCUAGUUGUCCAGGUAGAGUCCGUACACAUCAUAUUUGCUAAAGUGGAUUCACUAGCUAGGUCAUUUGAGACAAUCCAAUGGGGGCAUAUAGUUAGGGGUUAUAGGUUGCUUCUAGACACUACCCUAUUUGAGUCUCCACCUCAAAGCGCUCUUCGUUUUAAGUCUAAAUCUCAAUAGAAUAGAUAAAAAGUCAAAUAUAAAUAUAACAUAGGAAAGACAAUGAUCAAUACCAGUCCACAUCUUAAGAUCAAAUCAUAAAAUAACUCCAUUUAUUUUAAUCCAAGCAUAAGUGAGAAAACAUUUCACCAAUGUCACUUCCUAUGUGAGAAAUAUCAUUCACAAUUCAUACAUAUUCAUAUGUGAGAAAUUCUUUCACUACGAUAUUGAUACUUUCAUUUAAAAUCAUCAUAUAAUCAUAAACAUCAUUUUCAUAAGACAUGCAUAAUCUUCAAAAAUUAAUGGUUCAUGGGUUUAUUAUAGGUUCAUAGUUGAAAAUCGUGAAUGAUGCAUGGGUCAAUAAAAUUUCAACUAAAUAUCAUGUAUUCACAUUAAUCCAUAUAUUGGGAAAACUUAAUCAAUGAUACUAAAUCAUUAUCGAAUGAAACUCAUAAAGAACUAUAAGGAAGCCUAAUUUGUUCAAUGGAAAUUGGAAACUUUGGGGACCCCAUGGAGGAAUAGACUCAAUGGGUGAAUACCCACAUACCUUGCUACUCAAUGCCCACAAAGAAUGGUGAUUUGGUGACUUGAAUGGCAUUUUAGCUUGGGUUAGGUUCGUUUAGGUUGAGAGGAAAUUGAGGAGUGAAUUUGAUGAGGUUUUGGGGAUUUAGGAGAAUGGGUUUAAAGUGGGUAGUUUUAGGACUUAAAAGAUUUAUAUAGGACUUAAGGUAGAAGAUAAAACGACUAAGUAUUGGUUUAACAUAAUUAGGAAAAGACCCAAAAUCCCCUUAUAAAUAACUAUCAAAACCUUUUACAAUUUGGACUUACUUCAUACGGACCAUCCUAGUCAGUAGUAGAAAAGUUCAGAAAACAAAAUUUUUCUGAUCGACUUUGACGAAACUUGUACGGCCUAUAGAAAUUUCUACGGUCUGCAGACACCAACCAUAAAAAAUAACUUUUGGCCGAACUUUCAAUGGUCCGUAGAUACCAACCAUAGAAAACAACUUUUGGCCUUCGAAAUUCACUAAGUCAAAGAUUCAUCUACGGGACUCAUCCAUGACUCGUAGAUCAUUUGACGAACCGUACUGGUGAACUGUAGAAAGUCCUACGAACGGUAGAUUGGUCUCAUAGACUUGAACAUGUUACUGCGAUAAAAUGCAUUCUGAUUGUUUUAAAAUCUGAGGUGUUACACUAUCAUCUCUUGAGAUUAAGUUAUUAGAUGGUAGUUGAUAAUGCCAAAUUCUUGUUAAUGGUCCUUUUUACUAAUAUUAAGUUCUUUUAUCAAGAAAAUAAGAAUACUGAUGAGUUAUUUUAAUCUUGUCAGUCAUUAAAAAAUAUUAAUUGUAGAAAAAACUUGUAACCAAGAUCACCUUGUCACAAAAAGACAUUUAUUGGAAAAGAUCAUUAUCAUCAUCCAUACUUUAAGUUACAUAACCCUAAUUAUGAGUUUAUUUAUGCUCAUAACUAGCGGUACACAAUUACUAUAACAACUUAAACUACUAGAGAACACAUAUAUAAAAGAAAGUAAUAAGAACAUUUGAUUGAUGUAGCUUUUGCAAGUGAGUUUUGUUUGUUCCAUAAUAAUCUACCAGAAUUUUAAAAUAAACCAUAAAACUUAUAAAAGUGAAUUCUAAUCUCUAUUAUUAAGUUGUAAUCCUCUAGUAAUAAUUUGUGACGAGUAGUAAAUUUACACUCAUUUUAAGUCUGAUUAGCACAAUAAUUAGUGUCUUCAAUGCCCGAUUAUGUCCUAUUCUGAUAAAAUAUUGAUGAUUUUCAACCAUGGAAAAUGCAAGGAUUGACGUUUGAAAGAAUGACGAUAAAAGCUUAAAGAAGUGAAAAUGAUACAUUGUUGAUCACGAUAUGAGAAACGCAGAUCGCCUAGCAAGAAUGGGAUCGCCCCAACUACAAUAGGUGUAGGACUAUUUGCUGAUGGGAUAAAUCAUAGGUAAAUGAUGAUGCACCGAGUGGAAAAAGGCAAACAUUAGGAACAUCACUAAAAUUUAACAGUAUUGGGUGAUUAAAUGGAAGUUCAAAUGGAGAAUUAAGGUGUUGAUCGAGAUUCAUCAUAUCAGAAAAGAUCGCCGAAUGAAGAUCAAAUACUUGAAAUCUGAAAUGAGAAAAAGGUUUGUUGAACUCUGAUUGGUGAUUUGUUGAUUGAGAUCGAUGAGCGCAACUAAGACUGGGCAACGGAAUGGGACAUACCGGUACCGUUCCGGUUCAUCCCGAUUCGGUUGCCUACGGGAUGGGACGGGAUAGUCUAAACCGGUACACGGAACGAAACGGAACUGUAGUUUUGUACCGGUGUACCGGUACCGGUUCAUUCUGGUUCCGGUCCGGUCCGGUUCCGGUCCGGUUUAUUUAAUAUAUAUUAAUUUUUUUAUAUUUUAUAUAAUUUAUAUUUAUAUUUUUUAUAAAUUAUAUUUUAAAAUUUAAUUUUUUUCAAAUUCCCCGCCCCUGCAGCCUGCAGACUGCAGUCUGCAUAAAGCUGCAGUGCAGCUGCAGUGCAGGCAGCCCCCCCCCGCCCCCUACCCUUUUCCCGAGACCACCCUUACCAACAACUUUAAAGUUUAAAGGGAAAAAUUAAAACGACUAAUUUUUUUGUUGUAUAAAUUAGAGUUGUGUGUAAAAAUUUUAUAGACAAAUUACAAGUUUACAACUUACAAAUAUAAGUCUGAGUAUUUGAGAGAAUAUAUAUUUCCAAAUUACAUUCAUAUUUAUAACUUAUAUCAUUUGGUCAUUUGGUGUAUUUCGGAGGAGGAAUCUUAUUCAAAUUUCAAGUUUCGACAUUAAUAUUUUAAUUUUCAUUAUAAUCGUUUGUUUUACACAAACGUUUGGUAACUUCGUUCCACUCUCUAAUCUUAUAUUUAUUUUUUGUAUUUAUUAUUUAACUUGUAAGUUGUUCUUGUUAUAUUAUUGUUCUUGUUAAGUUUCGUAUUUUAUAAUUUAUAAUUUUAUAUCAUGGAGUCUUCUAAAAAAAGUGGAAGUAAAAAAGGUCUAGUAGAAUCAGUAAAAAAAUUAGUUAAAAAAACUAACAAAGGUGCUAGUUCGUCUAAAUCUAAAAUUCCUCUUGUUAGAAUAAAUACAGAUGAAUUUACGCAUGUGAAUGAAACUAGUUUUUCCCGUUCCGGUCCUAUAAAUAUUAAUUCAGAUAGUCCGACUCCCCAUGAACUCUAUGAAAGACAUUAUGGUAUUAAUCAAGAAAAUGAAGAAGUGGAAACGGAUGAACAAUUAAAUUUAUAUGAAGAAGUAGAUUUAGAUGAUACACCGACUAGCCUCGCCGUCGACCUCAAUACAGUCAAUAGUUUAGGUAUUGAAGCUCCACCUCCGGUUGGAACUACUCGUCCCCCUAUUAUUCCAACUAGAGGUAAGACCAAGGUACAACGUUCUUUAAAAUCACAUGUGUGGAAAUUUUGUUAUUUGAAUGAAGAAAAAACUUUUAGUAUAUGUAAUCUUUGUAAACAACAUUUUAAAUAUACAUCUGGUGGGACGGGAGGUUCAACGGGGGGAAUAAAAAAACAUUUGAUUAACAAGCAUAGUAAAGAGUGGUUUGCAUAAAUGUCUUCUCUUGAAGUUGUUGGAAAUUGUAAUGUUGAAGAAUCGGUUAGAGGAUCAAAAAUAUGGUUCAAAGUGAGUUAAAUACUUCGAACCCAAGUGGUCCUCUUACACAUCGAACCUAUAACAAGGAUCGUGAUCGUGAAAACUUUGCUAAAAUGGUUGUUGUUUGUGGUUUACCUUUUAGUUUUGGAGAACAUCCGGGUUUUAUUGCUUAUAUUCGUGAAACAUAUAAUCCUAGUUUUCAAGGUUUAUCAAGAAGCAUGGUAAAAAGAGAUAUUUUCGAAUUUCUAGAAAAACAUUGUCAAUAUUUACGUGCCUAUUUUGAACUAAUGGAUUGUAGAGUUGCUAUUACUACUGAUAUGGGUCGUAGUCCUAAUGGUUUUGAUUAUUUAACUGUUACUGCGCAUUGGAUCGAUUAUAAUUGGAAUUUACAAAAAAGAAUUAUUGGUUAUAAAAUUUGUCAAAAGAAAAAAACCGGAAUUUAUAUUGCUACUACUGUGUUGGAAAUUUUAGAUUUUUUUGGUCUUUGUGAUAAAGUCGUUAGUAUUACUUUAGAUAAUGCCUCUGCUAAUUUAAAUGCUAUUAAUUUGCUAGAACCUAGACUUUGUCCUAUUAGUAAAUAUGCUUUUCAUGUUAGAUGUGCCGCGCAUAUAUUAAAUUUGGUUGUUAGUGACGGUGUGAAAUUAUUUGAAAAUAGUUGUGAUAAAAUUGAUAAUGCUUAUUUUUACAUUUUUCAUAUGAAUAGUAGUAGUAGAAUUAAUCAAUUUAAAGAACUUUGUAAUGCAUUUAAACUUCCGUUUAGAAAAGUUCCGAAGCAUGUAAAAACUAGAUGGAAUUCCUUUUAUGAUAUGCUUGAAGUUGCUUAUGCAUAUAGGCAACCUAUUACUACACUAUUUAAUAAUCAUAAUGCUUAUCCUGAAUUUAAAAUUAAUGAUAGUGAUUGGGAUGAAGUAAAUGAACUUAGAAUAUUUUUGAAAUCUUUUAUGAUGCUACUAAAAAUUUUUCUGGAAUAUAUUAUCCUACUAUUUCUGAAAUUUUAAUACACAUAUGUGAGAUUUCAUCUAUUUUUUCUGAAUAUAAAACAAAUACUUUAUUCACCUCUGCUAUUGAAGUUAUGAUUACAAAAUUUAAAAAAUAUUUUUUCCUAUUCCUCAAAUUUAUUUAACUGCACUUCUUUUCAACCCCGAAUAUAACGAAUAUGGUGCAAAAGCUUUAGUUGAAUGCAUUUAUCAGAAUUUAGAUAUUCAACCUGAAGAAGAAGCUGAUUUGGUAACAUGUCAAAAUAGUAUAAAAUACUUUGCAAAAGAAAUGUAUGAUAAAUAUUCAUUCUUAGAUAAUGUUGAAAAUCCUCAAACGUCUACGAAUCAAGUAGGUGCUCAUGGACGAGUGAAACAUAAACUUGGUCUUGACUCUUCUAAUAAAUGUGAAUUUGUUAAAUAUCUUGAACAGGGUACAGAUGAUAUUACAAACGAUAAUGAUAUACCGGAACUAUUGAACUGGUGGAGAAAUCGUGGAGCUCAAUAUCCAAAACUUAGUAGGAUGGUGAAGGAUGUGCUUGCAAUUCAAGGAUCAUCAGUAGCUUCGGAGGCAGCUUUCAGCGCGGCAAGAUUUCAAAUUGGAGACCACAGAUAUUCGUUAGCAGAAGACAGCCUGGAGAUAUCAGUGUUAUUUAGAGACUGGAUAAAUGCUGAGCAUAGAAAUCAAGGACUUCCAAAGUUAGAUAGUCAAUUUGAACUUUUCAUAGAUUCAGCUAUUGGAUGUGGUAGUGAUGAUGGCAUCGAAAUUCAAGAUCGUCAACGAGCUUUACCAAGACCAGAAGUUGAUCACAAUCAAUCCCUAGCUGAGUUAGAAAGAGGAUUUACGGGACUAUACAACUAUUAGUAUUACAUUCGAGACAUAGUUGAAACAGAACCCUUCCUAGAAGGUGGCUGCGUAAGCUAUGUACUCUACUAAUAGUUGUAAAUUGAAAUUGUAAUUUGUUACAAAUUUAAAUAAAUUAAAUUGAUAUUUUUUAAUUUUUGUAAUUGUUUUAUCCUUAUUUUAAUUUACUUUUUUAAAAUUACAAAUUUUAUUUAUUUAAUAUUUACAAGAUACAAGUUAUAAAUAUAACUUAUAAAAUAAAUAUUAAUGAAUAUAAGUAAUAACUUAUAAAGUAUAAACUUCAAAAGAUUUAAAUUUUGAAAACUUUAUUAGAUUACUUGCAAACUUAACAAUAAUCAAAAAAAUAAUAAAAUAUCUUUAAAAUAAACUUAAGUUAAAAAUUAUAGUAUAAAUUUAAAAACUAUUAAUUUAUACUUAAAAAAUAAAAAAAAUUAUAUUUUCGUAAUUUAAAAAAUAUCGUCACGUUAAUCCCGUCCCGUUCCAUCCCGGUCCGUUCCGGUUCAUUCCGGUUCCGUCCCGGUAUAUAGUGGAACGGGACGGAACCAAUGAACCAUCCCGAUAAUUCCGAUCCGGUUCAUCCCGGUUACCGGUCAAAAUUCCGGUCAACGGAUUUCGGUCCGAUCCGGUACCGAUUCAUUCCGGUUCGGUGACCCGGUUCCAGUCCGUUGACCAGUCUUAAGCGCAACUAAUGUCACCAAAUGGGGAGCACAUGUUAGUUCUGGGCCAAAGUUUGAGAAACCAUAAAUAGUUUAAAGGAGAGAGAAAAGACAGUUCAAAAUUUUGGAGAGAAAAUUCUUAAUAUUUUAGAGAGAGCAACACUUUCUAUUGAGUGAAAAAUACUUUUAUGACCAAGAGUUUUGAAAUUAAUGGAUUGAAGUUGUAAAUUUGAGGUUAAAUUCAAAGUGGUUUUGCUUGUAAUUGCUUAAUUACAUAUUAUUCAUGACUACUUUCAUAAAAGGUAUAUUUUCUUCGCUUUUUAUGUUGGGUGGCUAAAAUCCCAAUCUCUUGAGAUGUGAUUAUGGGGUUGGAUGUUGAUUUAAGUUAGUUGGUUUGCUAAAUUGCUCAGUUUUACAAUUGUAAAUCUUAUAUUUGAACUAUUUCUGAGUGAUUAAUACAUAAAUUGAGGUGGCCAACUUGAUUUUAGCCUUGACUUUUUAUGGGUGCCCGAAAAAGAAUAUGAGUGGAGAAUAGGUUCAACUUUUGCAAUUUAGUUGUAUUGAAAGUUCAAUGUAUUAGGUUGUUUAGUUUUUUAUUUAGAUGAGACCAAAAAAAGAUUCUAUAAAAGGAUGUUAUUAGAUUAAAAGAAGAUUAGCAUGAUUUAAAAAUGACUUAUCCUAUCUUUGAUUGUAUAACUGAAAUGAGUAAUUCUACAACACCCCUAGUGAGAUCAAUGCCUAAACUCCACACUCCUAGAGUCAUCUAAUCUUGUGAAUUGUUGUUAAUUGAAUUAGUAGAGAUUGUGUGUCAGAAAUUGCUUUGUUAAAUUUGAUGGAAUCAUCCACCCAUUUACUAUUUAACUACAUUGAGCUUAAUGGAAAUUUAAUUCACCAAUUGAGUCCUUAACUUUCGUACCAUUUCCUAUGGGAUACCACCCCGACUGUUUGUUGGGUAAUUUUAUUGGCGAUGAUCGUUAUCCCUUUUAAUUGAUUUUAAAUAGCACAUUUGAGUGUUAUAAAUUUGUAAUCCUAAUAGCGUCAUGAGAAGACAUACAUAUAAUAAUAGGUUUAAAAUUCAAAUUCGGUUGGACUCCACUUUGACUAGGUCUAACUCAAUAAGGUAGAUAGAAUGAUCGUUACGCUGGUCCUAUCACAAGGGUUACUGCUUAACGCCGUAUGGUUCAUCUUGAACCCUACCUUCUUUUGCUGUCUCUCAAGUUUAGUUCUUGUGCAAGUGUGGAACAAUUCCCAUCUCAAGGUCCUUCUUGCAACUCUUUUUGCUCCCUUUUAGUCUUGAUUACUCUGCUUUGCUUUCCAAUCCAUCAUAUGGAUCUUUUUUAAUACUUUUUUGGCCUAUAAUUAUCCUUAUCAUGUCCAUUAGCUUAUCAUAACAUAUAAUUAAUAAACGGGAUAAUGUACAAGUACCCCCUCAAUCUAUGCCCGAAAUCUCAGAGACACACUUAUACUAUACGAAGGUCCUAUUACCCCCUGAACUUAUUUUAUCAGUAAUUUUCUACCCCUUUUUGAUUUACGUGACACUAUCUUGUGGGCCCAACAUUGUUUGAAUUUUUUUUCAAGCUAGUGCCACGUAGGACGAAAAGGGGUAGAAAAUUACUUAUAAAACAAGUUCAGGGGGGUAAUAGGACCUUAGUAUAGUAUAAGUGUAUCUCUGAGAUUUCGAGCAUAGGUUGAGGGGGCACUUGUGCAUUUUUCCUUAAUAAACUAAUGCAUAUUCAUAAGAUUAUACUCAAAACUUUAGCUAAAACAUGAAUAAAAAUGAUAUUUGAAUUCAUAAAUAUACCCUAUAUCAGAUGCCUAUGUAGAUGUUGUUGGAAGAUGAUGAAGAGAAAGGGGAUGUGAGGGAAAAAGAGACUUUCUUUUUUACUUUUUUAAAAUUUUAUUUAUCCUUAUUAGCAAAAUUUUAUAUUAACCCUCCUUAUCUGAGUGAAACUCACACAUUUUGUCUAACUGAGUCAUUAAGUUGUCAUAUAAGCUCAAUUAGUGAUUCUAAAAUACUUGCUUUAAUUGAAUUAAGGUGUCACACUGAAACUUCAUAAAGUAUAAGAAUCAAAAUGUCAAAUCAAGACAAAAAGAAGAAAUUUUCAAGUCAUUUUGCCUUUUCCACGACAUUUUUAGUAUUUAUUCUGAAAAGUAUUUUAACUUGACUUAUUUUAAAAAUAUUUUGGCCUAAAACUAGUUAUUGAACAAUACUUUAUAACUUUUCGAAACACUGCCAAACUAAAAACUACUCAAAAAUCAAAAACAUCUAAAAAUAAGUUAAUCCAAACAACCACUUACACAAAUAAAUGUGUUACUUUUAAAAAUUAAAAAAUUAGGGAAAAGGGAUAAAUAUACUCUCAAACUAUCGUAAAUAAUAUGCAGAUACUCUCUGUCAUACUUUUGGGACAUUAGUAACCUUACCGUCCAAAAACUAGAGCAUAUAUAUAUCCUUCACUUUAACGAAAGACUAAAUAGGGACAUUGACACAAUCUUAUCCGUCAAUUUGAUAUUUAAUAAAUAUCAAAUCUGUGAAUAAGAUUAUGACUCAUGUAUGUCCGUUGAUAUUAAAUAAAGUUAAAACUUGACCUAUCAUGUAAAAAUCUUAUACCUUUCCCUAUGAUUAGUUGAUUAUCCGUGAAGAACCUAUCGGGAGGUCAAAUUGUGUAAAAUUGUAUACUAUAAUGGGAAAUUUUCACAAAUAGCCACAUAAUAAACUUAACUAAGCUAUGCUAUACUUUACAUAUUUACAGGAUGGAGCUACAAUUUAAGUUGUAUCGUUUGUAUAAUUCACUAGUACAUUUGUAUAAUUUCGUUAUUUUUUUAUAUACUUGAAAUAAUGAAUUUACACAAUUACAAAAUUAGAAGUAUAAAAAAUUAUACAAAUUAAAAUUUUUAUAAAAUCUAUAUAAAUUAUAUUAUACAAAUAUAAAUAUACAAAAUCUAAACCGAGUAAUUAUAGCUAAAUAUAGGUUGCAAAUUGUAAUUGUACAAACUAUAACUAUAUCAACUAAUUAAUCCGCAUAUAUUUACUUAUACCAUAAUGUUCCCUACUAUAAAGCUCAAAUCCUUCCAUAAGCCCUAGACAGGAGCUGAGCCACCAUUUGUUGUUAAACCCUAAACUUGGAGAGCAUUGUUCAGGAAAUGGAUUGUCGAAGUAACUAUGAAAAUCAGAACUCGGGAAGCACAUCAUCAAAGAUGAAAUUUGAGUACGAGGAUGAAAGCUCCAACAUUGAGGUGGAGGAAGAUACCUCCAUGUGUGACCCAAUUGACGAAUCUAUUGUGGGCAGCAACAAGACUAGCGCUGACUAUUACUUCGACUCAUAUUCUCACUUUGGUAACUUAUCUCUUGACCUUUCACAUUUCUCUUCUAUGAUUUCUUCUCCUUUAUAGCUUCUUGAUGCACUUAUAUAUGCGUUUGUUGGGUUAUUCGUGGAAUGUAGCUUGGUUGAGUAACGUUCUCCUUGGUAGAGUCAAUUUAGUACUUAACUCGGAGACUGUAUUGUAUAAACCUCCUGAGCACCUCACCCUUCUCUAUUGUGCAGUAAAAGUAUAUAGUUGUGCUUAGAACAACAAAAUACUCCCUCUAUCCUCUUGAAGAGCGCAGAAAUAUGCCCUGCUAAUGGAAUUUUUAGAAGUACUAUUAAUUGGUUAGAUGCUGUGGCAUAGAUUGAAUUUUUUGUUCGCCAUGCUAAACAUUAUGAUGCUGCUGAGGAGGUUGAUAACAACUGAACCUAUGCACCUAGGUUCAAUGUGUCACUUGGUACCCUUUGGCAUGCUGUUCUUCAAACUCCUCCGCCUGUGGCAAUGUCACAUGUACCUCUAUCCUUGGAAAAAAAAGCUACAAGGUUGCUGUUUAAAUAGAGACAAUAUAUAUAAGCAAAAGUUCAUAUUAAAAACUAAAAAAAGGUUCCCUUUAGUUGUUGUCUUGUCAUGGUCAGUUGUGGCAACUUCUUGACCAUUGAAUUCAUAACCGUGAUGUCGUUUGGUUUGUAAUCACUUAUAGAAGCUAAUUUAUCCUUCCUUCUAUUGAUGCUUUUGCAGGUAUUCAUGAAGUAAGUUCCCAUAUAUCAUCUUAGGGUGUGUUGGCAUGCUGUUGAUGCUACCUCAGGUUUUGCAUUAAGAGUCUACAUUAAUGGUUCUAACUGUAAUUCUCACUCUGUAACAGGAGAUGUUAAAGGAUGUGGUGAGAACUAAAACUUACCAAAAUGUUAUUUACAAAAACUCCUUCUUAAUCAAGGAUAAAGUGGUACUUGAUGUGGGUGCUGGGACGGGAAUCUUGUCACUCUUUUGUGCAAAAGUUGGCGCCAAACAUGUUUAUGCGGUAUGGAGUCCAUCUCUUGUUCUUGGGCCAUAGUAUCACUUCUAUAUCAUAUAUAUUCUUGAUUGUAACAUGGUGGCUCUCUUCGUCACCACACACUAGAUAUUCAAAUGCUAUUUACUACGCUCCUCAUUAUUGAGAUGUUGCGGCAUGACUUUGUAAGUUAAUGUUGAACAAAGUUGUAAGCCUGAAGAAGCUAAUGCUAAACUAUCUAAAUGCAAUGGGACUUAUCUUCGCUAUUUUGAUAUUUUCAGAUUGAGUGCUCCAGCAUGGCUGAUAUGGCCCAAGAAAUUGUAAAACUCAAUGGGUUCUCAGACGGUGAGCUGAUUUUAUCACCAUGUCAUGAACCUUGUUACACAUUUUGUGUGCUUUUGUACUAUCUAGUUUACUGAGUCUGUUUGCUUUCUCAGUUAUAACUGUUAUCAAGGGAAAGGUAGAAGAGAUUGACUUUCCGGUUCGAAAAGUGGAUAUAAUUAUUUCUGAGUGGAUGGGAUACUUUCUUCUUUAUGAGAACAUGUUAGAUACAGUCUUAUAUGCUCGUGACAAAUGGCUGGUAAGCUGCUUUUAGUUGUGAACUUCAAAAAGUUGCUUCUACUCGUGAUUGUUUAGUACUCGUUGCAUUUGCUGAAUGCAACAUUUUGUUCUUGAAAUUUAGGCUCUCUUCUGAUACGAUAUUAUGUUUUAUGUAGAUACUUUAUACAUGUAUUUAUUAUUUUAACCAUAAUAGAAUUUCUUCACGGAAUUUGUAAUCCUUUGUCUGCCUUAAUUACAGUAAAUGCCAUGAGCUAAUUACAACUAGAGGUAUUAAUAAGAUGCCUAUCUUCAAAUUCAUCUCCUUGGCUUGUGGCUGGCAUCACUGAUAUAAGUAGCUCUUUCUUGAGUUAUUAUGUCUAUAUAUAAUAUAGUAAAAAGUUACUUUAUUUAAUAGAAUAUUUAGUGCAAAUAAAAAGCUUUUGACAUACUGUAUGGGAACCUGGGUACAUGCAGCUCAUGAUGCCUCUUUAAGGGAGAAUGGAAAUGAUGGAAAAGUAAAAGGUAUGAGCAGGAAGACGUGUUGAUAGCAAUGAAAUACAAGUGGGGAAUAACGAAGAGGGCCCUUGUCCUUUUCCAAGCCAUGACACUGUGACAUGCGCAACCUCUUCUAUAUUAAUUAGACCAAGCUUAUUGAUUGAGCUUGGCAACGGGUUCAAAGAAAAAAGGCGUGGGUUGCAUUCUACCAUUGAGUGCUAAUCUAGACUUUGGCCAACAUGGCAUUCCCACCAGUCAAACAUAUUUCAGCUAUCAUCACACUUCCUGCGUUGAUCAACAUCUUCAUGCUGAUCCUUCUCCUUUCCACCCUGUACCAAGUUGAACCCCCAGUCCCCCGCAGCCACCAAAAAAGGAAUUAUCUUUAAGGUGCACUUUUUAUUCAAGAGAAAAGUGUUUUUCUUCUUGGUUGUGCUGAGUUCAAGGUGUUUGUAUGCAGAAAAGAUUAUUAGAGUGCUUGUAUACAAUUUAUUUCCUCCAUUGAUGCCCGAGAAUUGAAAGAAAGUUAUAGUGUAAGUGGACUAAUUGUUUUACCCACGUAAUAAUUGAAAAACUUUUUUUUUGGCUUCUUGAGAUUAUAUAGAUGGGGUCCCCUGUAAGUCAAAUUGGAAAAUUUGCUUUUUCUUUAGACCAUGAGAAUUUAGUACCCCCUUGUCUUUGGCUGGUUUGUAUUGUGUUAAAGACCUGGGAUCAAUGGAAAUUAGUGACUGGAUAAUGUGCUUUGUCCUCUUCAAAUGAAUUUUUUCUCAUUACUGCUUUAAGUAGAGCUCCCCCAGGUUGGCUGAUUUAAUUUCCAAACCAACUUUCUGGCGUUCUUCUAUUUGCUUCAAUUUUCUCAGAGUGACUCUUUGGGUGGCGAGCUCAACUAAAAAAGGCCUCUUUUUUGAUUAUAUACCCUUUCUCCCGCCUGUACAGG